CCAGAUCACCUAGACAUCUAAUAACCUUCAUUGAAUCCACCAACUAAAUUAUGCUCAAACUUAACACACCAUCAAAACCAACGGUUCAGAUAGCUGAAUAACUAAUUACUCAAUCAAUUUCAAUGAACAUUAUUAUUUAGAUCAUUUUCAUCCCUCUCUCUCCUCUUCUCACUCCCCUCGACCCAGCCUUUUCCUUGCCUCGCGCCACUGCCACCGACUUCUUCCCUCCUCGAAAUCGUACCAUUAGUACUAGUACGUUCUAUAUGCUAGUUUUAGGGCCCGUUUGGCACAGCUCCAGCUCCUGAUUCUAAGCGAGGAUCUGGAGGAGCCGUGCCAAACGGGUAUUUUUAAACUGAUUCUCGUGUGGAGCCGAAAGAUUGAGAGUCGUUUUUGUGAAGAAAUGUGGGAUCUAAAAAAACCUGCUCCACCCUCCCUUAAAACAGCUCCUCAACCAACCAAAUAUGGACUCCCCCUUAAAGUUUGAUCGAAAUUACCCGCAAUUGCCAUUGGACAAAAACAUAACGAGCCAAUUUAUGGAUUAAACAUUUGAGACUAUUUUAUGCACUACUAUGAUGGGAAUAUUUUAUAUGUUAUUGUUUCAUAAUUUUUUUUCCGUAUAUGCAUCCUACUUAUUGGUUUGCAAAAUUGAACUGCAAAGGGUAAAACAGACAAUCGCGCAGACCACCAACUCUCAGCAGACAAGAAUCAGUUUACUUGCCAAACAGUUUUAAAAAUGAUUCUGAUUCUCUAGGAGGAUCAGGAUCUAGAGCUAAAGAAGUAGGAGUUGGAGCUUUGCCAAACAUGCCCUUAGUUGAAGGCGAGGUGUGAGAUGACGGGAGAUUAAUUGCACGUGACAUUUCUUGUUCUCAUCUCUUUAAUCGAAUAAGGAGCAGUAGCGCAUGUGAGCCCCUGCCUGCCAUGCAUACGUGACUCGCUCACGCAUCACUCGCACAGUCGACUUUCUUAUUUAUUUCGCCUCACGGGGUGGAUGGGCUUGGGCUGCUCCCCAUUCAUUCAUGCAUAACAAAAGGGAAACAUUUAAUUUGCGUGUAUAUUCAUAAUAAAGCCAAGCAGAGCUAGCAGGGUUCCGCGAUCGCAAACGCGCGCUCGUAUAGUUCUCGUAUCAAAAGACAGCUUCUUUAAUUUGUGUCGAAACAACUAACGGUGGCUUUUGAAUGGGUUCUUUUACAAACUGGAACUGUUUGAUUCUCUUUCCACCAUUAGAAUCAGAACUCGGGCAAAGAACGAGACACAGUAGAUCGAGAGGUCCAAACAACACGUCAUUAUAAAUUUAUAACCGAGGUUUUUUUAUAGUAUAUCUACAUCAUGUUUACUUAGGGGUGGUAAUGGAUCGUGAUCUAAAUAGUUCUUCACAAAAUGUCAAGGCCCUAAAUAAAUUAUAGUUCAAAAAUGACUAGAAAUAAAGUCCGAUCCUAACCCGCUUCGAUCCUUAAAUCUUAUAGUGCAAAAAUUAUAGCCCAUUGUCAGCCCUAUGUUUACUUGGCUUUAAUCCGUACCAGUUUCAGUAUUUUCAUCUCUGUAGCUUACAGCUGCAGUGCCUUUAAUCUGAAGGCAUAUAUGUCGAUCGGUGCAUCAGAGAGAUGUUUUCAGGAGGAAGUUGGAGUAUUUUUUUUUUGUUUUAAUAAAAAAGGACCCUCGAUCUAGUACGGACAAGACAACUAACAGGUGAGAGCUAGAGCUUGGUUAUGCGUGGUCCUUUAUCUAACUAUUAGUACUAUUAUUGUUGUUGUCUCGUACUAGGUAGCGAACUUUGCAGGCUAAACAUAAUGAAACUACCUGUGCUACCUCUCUGGCGUUUACUAGCUUCCAGAUGUUUCUGGAGCUCAUAGAAGCGCAGAACAGGUGGAAUUCAGGAAGAUUGUCCCUACGUUAGCUAUAAUGGAAUUGCUGAUUACCGUAAGACUAUGAUGAAAUUACAUUUCAGUCAACAAACAAACAAACAAAACAAAACAAAAAAAAGUCUAAAUGUCACCAUAAAUAUCCUUGGACGACCUAACUUAGGAUGCACAGAAAUGCCAUGGCCAUAACUCUGAACUGAACAGGAGCUGAUCGAUUCCCUUGUGCGUCCCUUACCUCCUAACCUGAGUACGUACGAGCUCAGCUGACUGAAACAGCUGAUUAACAGGCUGGUCACAGCUAAGACGACAGUGACAGCCCAGCCCAUCCUCAUCGUCUUCCAGUUUUCGCUGCCUCGACUGACACGUGGUCGCUGAUCCCGUGCGUCGUUUCGUCUUCCAAGUUGCAUGGCAGCUGAUCGAUGAAUGUGCCAAUGCAAAAGCAGCUAGUUAGUUGAGCUUCGGCGACCGACUGACAGCAACGGCCUCCAUUGACCAGUCAUUAGCCUGUCGCUAAUGGCAAAUUGAAUUGGAGCAACUUCAGCAGUACCGCCUUUAAGAUAAGGUCUUUAUUUAUCUUUCGCGAUAUGUUUGGUUGCGGGCUGAGAACAGACACGUUCCCUUGACAUUCUCUCUCGUUCCUCCAAAUUUGAGAAACAACUAGAGACAACACUGAAAUAGUCCUGUACUAUCUCUUAUUGGAAAAUUAAUAAUAACCUAAGAUUAACUUGAUAAUGCAGCAUAAAAUGAAAAACUCAGAUUUACGGGUAGAUAAUAUCCACGACAUUAAGAAAUAAAACAUAUCUGAACUAACUCAACAAUAUUAACGAAUAAAAUAAUAAUCGACAACGGAUCUAACCAUAAGAGCGUCAUUGCAACAAACUAAAACUGCAGGUUUACUCACAGUGAUUUCCACGAGUUUUGUAGAGGAACCUGAGCGGACGUGUGCGAAGCAUUUCCUAGAAACAUGAUUCGCCGACACCCAUACAGGUCGUCAAAACGUCGACGGUGAUUCGGAGACAACACUCUCCCUUAAUCUGUUGCACGGCAGACGAAUGAACGUCAGGGCAGAGAAGCGAGGCGCAGAGAAUUGAGAAGAAGAGGACGGGUCGGUUGCUAUUGGCCCGAAUCCUCCGACUGAAUGAUGUCUGCCCUUUAUAGAUGGGCCGCCGCAACUCCUUGAUUCGAUCUGCUAAAUUGCAGGAACCGCUCCCUGGAAUAUCUCUACGUGCAACCCCCGGAGAUCUCGCACGUAACGUGCGUGACCAUUACUCCUGGCUUAUGUGACAGUCUAGGUGUGAUAUUUGAUAACCAAAUAAACAAAAGGCAAAAAUUAAACUGCCGUUUAGAACACGUCACGUCACAAAGCGAUCGCGCAUCGUCGCAAGUCACGCGAUAAAUAACGCGAAAAAGGUGAAACGCGAGCGAGCGCACGUGUGUGGCAGCCUCCAUAGCCCUUUAUUUGUCUCAUGUGAAGAGUAGUAAACACUCCCCACAUAUGAGCUGGUUCUCUCCUAUCUAGAUGGACGAUAUGAGACUAAAGUCUCAUGUCAUAUGUACACACCACCAUAGCUUUCUUAUUUAUUUAGGUCACAUAGUAGUGGACCUAAUUCCAACACCCCUGACAUCCUGAACCAAAUAACCUUAUUUAAGGGAUCGUCAUAUCUCGUACCGUUCUGUCGUUACAAUAAAACACACCAUAAGAUAACGUGAAUCACAUGCACACAGAGACAGAACAAUACAGUUUACGUUCACGCGUCAUGCAUGUUAUCCUAAUGAAGAUCAUAAACCGUGUACUGAAAUCUGUAGACAGUUUAUUGGGCACAGUACAUGAAAAUGGUGCUAACAAACAGAGGCAGAGCUGGUUACUGUAGGCCUGCAGCCAGUUUGGCAGAGAAAGUUGGUCUGGCUGCAUCCAGAAGAAGGCGGUAUAACUAGAUAAAGAUCGAGGUGCUAAUGAGUUUUAAAUUUUAUGCUACAAAAUUUAUGGAUCAGAUUGGAUUAUGGUUGUUAGAUAAGAUUAUGCGACUCUAUCUCUAUCUACUUUGCCUAUAUAAAUAGAUCAUCUUGUACUCUGUACUACAUACCAUAUAAUAGAUAUGUUUUCCUGUUGUUUUUUCUUCUCCAUAUUGGGGAAGUUUUUUUCACGUUAAACUUUAUCUCUUUUUUUACACCUACGAUCCUAACAAGGGUUUGAGCGAGGAAGUCAAGAGUGGCCCUAGCCGGUUUCAGUGAUCCGGUCUUGCCAGGUUAAAUUACUGAUCUAGCCAACUCCCAGCACAAUUUUGCGUGUCAACAUAAGACAUUAUCAGCGCCAAUAUAGAAGAGGAUGUUCCAUAGUUGCUAAUAAAUCCGGUGAUGGCGAAAACGCAGCCAAGGAUGAUGUUUCGUUUCUUCUAAAUCUAAUCAAGCCAAGAAUCAAACAUGUGUGCUUUGGCCAAAUUAGUCAGCGGAUCCAAAUAUACGUGCGUACGACGCUGACGGGAAACUCAAGUCAGAAAAACGCAGCGCGCCAUUAAUUUGCAUACGAAUACUAUGUAAGACACCGUGGUUGACGGGUUCGGAUCGAUCGAACUAGUAACACAGCCAGCAUGGAGAUCUCGGCGAGGCCAAAGACGACCAGCUCUGUUUAGUUAUUAAUUCUUUCAUAUUUAAUUCAAUCUAAAAACACUAUAGCACAUCUAUGUAUGUCACAUACGUAUAGGUGUAAAAUAUUAUUACUACUCGCAAUAAUAACAAACACACGUACUUACAAGUAUAGUGAUUAUAGCAGAAACUAUAAAGAUCUUAACAAAUUUAGAGAAGAAAUUAUACUUUACGGAGGGAUCUAUGCUCAGACACUAGCCGCUUCGUCGACAUGCAUCAUGUGUUGCUCAUUGGUCAACGGACCAUAAUCGAUGUAGGCAGAUAUUUGUAAAAACCAUCCCACGGGUGUCGCCACGAGGGAGAGAAGACGAUCCUUCGAUAAGAAAACAAGCAGAGUACAAUCAACGAGCAGUCAGCAUAACACUCCCAAAAACCUAAUUAUCUACAAACUCGAGUAGGUGUCACAAAUGAGGAUGCGGCUCAUGAGGCCUCCUCUUUCAACACUCAGUGUGUGUAGAGUAGACCGAAGCAAUGCCCCCACCCCCUCGGACCCAAUCCGCCCCCAAAAAAUCGACUCAAUCCAACCAGACCUAUGCAACAGACAGGCACAAACUAUAGAUUUUGACCCAUAAUAAUUCAUAGGACAAGUGCGGGGCCAUGAUUUUUGACCCCUAAACCGACUCAAUCCAAAAAAAACUCGACCAAAUCCAAAAAAACUAGCCCAACCUGAAAAAAUCCGACCCGAUGCAUCCAACAGGGAGGCACGAACCAAUUCGACACUAGGCACGGGUCAGGUGUGGGUCAUGUCCAACAAUCCACGACCUAACCUUCACCCAACCCAAACCUGGCUCGAUGACAGAGAAAAGAAGUGGUUCUAUGUGUGUUCUCAUAAGAGGCUCCUACGGAGUCAAUAGAGGUAAUAGCAGGAGUUUCAAAAUAAUAAAAUAAAUAAUCUUUAUAAUAUGUGUUCAUUACCUCGUACAUCAUAUAUAUAACACCUUCAUCAGCCGGCUUUUUACUCUCUUCCAUCAGCUAUCCUAAGUGGAAAAACAUACCCACGUCACAUGGCACGACACGACACACUGUGCCUCGCCACACCACGAAUCAGUGGCGGCGGUAAUAAUGUACGUGGCACGUCCUUAGUUUUCAACCACUCCAUAGGUGCACACGUUACCAUACAAAAGAUACGAUAUGAAAUAUACGGGAGUACCAAUAGUACCAAAAAAAUAUUGCUAAGAGAGCAAAGAGCGAGUCCUUGCAUCUUAGAGUAUGUCUGUCAGCGUCCCUAGGUACAGGUACCAAAGGCACUACAAGAAAUAUAGGUUUGUGCGAAGAAGAUAGACUAUGGGCCCUGAAAGUCGCCUAGAGGGGGGGUGAAUAGGCGGAAACUGAAAUUUACAACUUUAAACACAACUACAAGCCGGGGUUAGCGUUAGAAACAAAAUCGAAGUCCGAAAGAGAGGGUGAAAACAAAUCACAAGCAAAUGAAGCGGAUGACACGGUGAUUUGUUUUACCCAGGUUGGGUUCUUGAGAACCUACUCCCCGUUGAGGUGGUCACAAAGACCGGAUCUCUUUCAAUCCUUUCCCUCUCUCAAACGGUCACCUAGAUCGAGUGAGCUUUCUCCUUAAUCAAACGGGUCACUUAGACCUCUCACAAGGACCACAACAACUUGGUGUCUCUUGCUUUGAUUACAAGUGUCUUGAGAACAAGAAAGAGGAAGAAGAAAACGAUCCAAGAACAAGAGCUCAAAGAACAAGAGCAAAACUCUCGCUCUAGUCACUAUUUGUUCGGAGUGGAUUUGGGACUUGGAGAGGCUUUGAUUCUAUUGAAUUGUGUCUUGUAUUGAUUGCACUAGCUCUUGUAUUGAAUGAGAUGUUUGAAAAACUUGGAUGCUUGAAGUGGUGGUGGUUGGGGGGUAUUUAUAGCCCCAACCACCAAACCAGCUGUUGGGGAGGCUGUCUGUCGAUGGGCGCACCGGACAGUCCGGUGCGCCACCGAACACUGUCCGGUACGCCAGCAACGUCACCCAACCGUUAGGGUUCUAACGGUUUCGACCGUUGGAGCCCUGACUUCUUGGUGCACCGGACAGGGACUAUUCACUGUCCAGUGCGCCUUCUAGCGUUGCUCUGACACUGUGCGAACUGUCCGCGCACUGUUCACGCUGCAGGCGACCAUUGGAGUCGACUGUUGCGCUUCUUAGCCGUUGCUCCGCUGGCACACCGGACAGUCCGGUGCGCCAGACCAGGGUUCUCUUCGGUUUCUUUUGCUCCUUUCUUUUGAACCCUAAUUUUGAUGUUUUUAUUGGUUUGUGUUGAACCUUUAGCACCUGUAGAACAUAUAAUCUAGAGAAAACUAGUUAGUCCAAUUAUUUGUGUUGGGCAUUUCAACCACCAAAAUCAUUUAGGAAAAGGUUUGACCCUAUUUCCCUUUCAAUCUCCCCCUUUUUGGUGAUUGAUGCCAACACAAACCAAAGCAGAUAUAUAAGUGCAGAAUUGAACUAGUUUGCAUAAGGCAAGUGCAAAGGUUGCUUGGAAUUAAACCAAUUUAUAUUUUUACUAGAUAUGCAUGGAUUGCUUUCUUUCUUUUAACAUUUUGGACCACAUUUGCACCACUUGUUUUGUUUUUGCAAAUCCUUUUGGAAAUUCUUUUUCAAGGUCUUUUGCAAACAGUCAAAGGUAUAUGAAUAAUAUUUCGGGAAGUAUUUUCAAGAUUUGAAAUUUUCUCCCCCUGUUUCAAAUGCUUUUCUUUUGACUUAAACAAAACUCCUCCUGGAUGAAAUUCUCCUCUUAGUGUUCAAGAGGGUUUUACCAAUUGAAAGAAGAUCAAAUAUUUUAGAUACCAAUUUGAAAUAUGUCUAUUAAAAAUUUUCAUCAUAAGAUGCCAAUUGAAAAUGUUGGGGGCCUUCGUCCUCCGAAGGUCCUCAAAAACAUGAUUUAACAAUGUUUUCCAAGUGGAUUAUGUGAACAGGUACCUUCGGGCUCAGAAUUACGAACAUGAAGUGCGGUCAGGACGAAGCCUGAACCAGACGAAGGACGGGCUGAUUACCAAGCUCCACGAAGGAUGGUGCACAGCCGAAGCUGUGCGCAGGGAAGCUUCGUCGCGAUAGCAGAGAGGGGAACCGACUUAAAGAUGAAAAGACUACGUGGACCUUGUCAGGUUUCCAUAAGUCAUUGACAAAUGUAAUGGACAUAAAUGUAAUUUUACGUGGGCUGCGUCCCACGUCUAUAAAUAGAUGAACAGUACUCCCGUACUGAUCACGCUGACUUGGCAUUUGCUUUUGCGUCACGCUUGUACUUUUUACCUUCUCUCAGAACCGAAGGUACAUUUGUAAUUUGAAAUCAUUUCUAUUUUUCCAUGUUAAUAAAAUAGAAAUGAUUCUAUGAUGAUGCUUAUAUUAUAUUUCAUGCUUUAUAUGAAUCCUUCGUCAUUAUUUGUUAUGUUUACGAAGGUAUGUCUCUUAUGACCUUCGUCCGAAACUCAUUAUUUCCCGAAGGGACAUAAUGCUUCGAAGGACGAAGGACUUUAACACUUAACACUUUUUAUGUUGCCUUGUUCUUAAUUCUUAGCAUUUGAGAACAAGUCCCCAACAUUGGCGCCCACCUCCGGUGAACUCACUUCCACUUCGAGUUUUUUGAACACCUUCGGAAGCUAUAGACCCUCGCUAUGGCACCGAAGAAAGCUUCAGCGACUGGGGCUGCAGCACUGCAACCGCUGGACCCCAACCAGGAGACCAUCUCUCUCCGGGAGGCCCGAAACCAGAAGAGGAAGGCUGUCAGCCCGACGAUUCAGGAGGAUGAACUAGACCAAGAGAUCAGGGACAUGGAGAUGCUACAUCAACAGGUGCAGAGGAAGAAGGAGAAGAUGGCCAGGCUAGCUGAGCUGCAGAGGCAGAUAGACGAAGCUUCUGAAGAAGUCCGUCACCUUACCCACGAUGAGCAGAACCGAAGGCCUCAACAAAAAGACCUUCAUCAGGAGGGCUUCUUCAAUGAAGAUGACUGGUAUGAUAAUUUUCAUCAUGGAAAUUUUGUUUUCGACGAUGCUUCUCCUCUGUCCGCUGAGCUGCAGGCUACACCUUGGCCUUCGUCCUAUAAGCCACCCCAGCUUCCCAUGUUCGAUGGCCAUUCGGACCCGAAGCAGUUCUUGAUGAGUUACGAAGCAACAGUGUCUUCGUAUGGUGGCAAUGCUGCAGUAAUGGCAAAGUCUUUCGUUAUGGCCGUCAGGAGUGUUGCUCAGACCUGGUAUUCCUCCCUUCGGCCAGGAACGAUCACUUCAUGGCAGAAGCUGAAGGAUAUGUUAUUGACCAGCUUUCAAGGAUUUCAGACGAAGCCGGUCACUGCUCAAGCCUUGUUCCAGUGCACUCAGGAUCAUGAAGAAUACCUUCAGGCGUAUGUCAGAAGGUUCUUGCGUUUGAGGGCGCAGGCACCAACGGUGCCCAAUGAAAUUGUCACCGAAGCCAUGAUCAAGGGGCUUCGUCCUGGACCUGCUGCUCAAUACUUUGCUAGGAAACCUCCUCAGACCCUGGAGAAGCUGCUCCAAAAGAUGGACGAGUACAUUCGUGCUGACAAUGACUUUCGCCAAAGAAGGGAGGAGGCCUUCAGAUUUUCCGAAAUGACCAGGGGCUUCGGAGGAAGAUCCUAUCCGAGGCAUGUCAGGUCCAUCCACAACUCCACUCAGAAUGAUGAUAAGGGGAGUCAGCAGAACAGACCGCAGUGCUCUUCACAGGCUUCGGGGCAACAGCAAAGCUCCUUCCGACCACCAGCUCCAAGAGGCAGAGGCGCCAGGGGCUUCGGCGGAAGAUUCGGGGAUCAACCCAGAAGAAUAUUUUGCUUAUUCUGUGGUGAAAACAAAGGUCAUACUACCAGGAUGUGUCAUGUUACCAUUCAGAAGCAAAAAGAGAUAGCCGAAGCUGCCGCACAACAGGCUCAGCCGAAGCAGGUCAUGCACACUGCUUCGUAUCAUUCGCCCUACAUCCCAGAAUAUGUGGGCAACCAUCCUGCACUCUCUGCUGCUUCGGCAAGUCAGCCUUCAGCUUCCUGGCAACAGCCCCCGCCUCCACCUCCGUUGCAACAAGGCCAGCAGCCAGAAGGGAGCCAAUAUGCUCCACAUCAAAGGGACUUCAGAGAACAGUCCGAAGCUCGCACGGUCAACAGCACCGUGCCAGAGUCAAAACACAUCUAUUGACAAAUAUCCUACCUUAAUAGCAAUCUUUUUCAUUCAGUUUUAUUUUUUGUAAUAAAGGACAUUGUUUAGGUUUCAUGUAAUUAGUUUCGUUGAUUCCUACAAGAAAAAUAUGUUUUCUUCCCAGGUUUGUGAUAAUAUAAAGGACCUUUGGACUAUCGAAAAUCCUUCGAAGCAACAAAAAGUCGUUCUAAGGAACGCAGAGUAAGUCUGACGAAGUCACAAAAAGUCGUUCCGAAGGGAGCGCAGUGUAAGUUUUCUGCUCCAAAGUCGUUCCAAAAGGAAUGCAGAGCAUACAGCGAAAAGUCAACGCUGAUACCGCCUAAGUAAAAGGCGAAGAAGCUCCAAAGACGUUCCUAAGGGAAUGCAGAGCUUAUACCGCCUAAGUAAAAGGCGAAGAAGUUCCAAAGACGUUCCUAAGGGGAUGCAGAACUUACAGCGAAAAAUAAACGCUGAUUCCGCUGAAGUAAAAGGCGAAGAAGCUCCUAAGGGAGACUUAUAAUGAAAAAGUCAGUAUUGAUACAAAAGAUUGUGCCCCAUUGCAGGAAUGUGCGUAUCUUCGGCACAAAAUAUCAUUCUGCAUAACAUAACAUCAUCACAUCAUUUUGCAUAGCAUAAUCAUCAUACAUCAUGCUGCAUGUGGCACAAGAAGGGGGCAUGUUAUCGAUCUUCGGAAAAUGCUUUGAAAAAGGGCAAAUCAUGCCAAGUUACAGGGAGAAACAAUAUUGAUUUUCGAGGUAUAGCUUCGGAGAUUAUUUUUACGAAGCUUGGAUAUUUCUUAUCAGAACACCAUGGAUAUUGUCGUGAUAAAUGAUAAAUUCUUCUUCACGAAGCAUGAAAAGAAGGGAAGGUGUUUUUUCGUCGAAGACUCAAAAAUGGUAUGUGUUUAAAGUUUCAUGCAUCGUAAAGAAUUGAAUCAUAAAACAAGUAUAUUACAUACAGGAUUACAGAAUAUUACACAAAUCAUAUAUCAAAUGUUUUUUUGCAAUAGCACUUAGUCUUCCCUAAGUACUAUCUCUGCAGCUUCGUUCAGCAGUCGAUCGACAACCUGAUCCAUGAUAGCUUCGGCCAUCUUUUUAAUUUCGUCGUCAUCUUUAGGCUGAGGGCCCGAAGAUGCUUUAGUAGGAUCUGAGUGAGGACGGGAUACUAUUGCAUCAUUAUUACAGAUCGCGAACGAACUAUAAAAUUAAAAGUUAUAAUGCAAUGAAAACUAUUCGCUAGUACCUAUUUGCCCUUCGGGCUCUGCGUUUUUCUCAGCAGCCUCGGCUACUUUUCUAGCCUCAUGAAUCCCUUUCUCGCUUUUCUGAAUGAUUUCUUGGGCCAUUUCUCUACCACCGUUGUCCCAGAUGUCGGUGAAAAAUUUUCCCCCAACCGCGCUAGCUUCGGCUGAAGGAUCUUUUAUAUCUUCAGUGGACAAGGUGGCUUCGGACUGCGAUAAAAUCUUUACAUGUUCACAUCCUUUCCCCUCCAAAAUAGUGGCAAUCCCUCUGGCACCAGAAAAAGCGCAGAUGUCACCGCGGCUACUCAGGAUUUCCUCGAAGGCCUCCGCCUCAUGAUUGAUCCAUUCCAGGGGACCUUCGGGGUUACCUCUUAUAAAGUUUUCUUCUUGCGAAAAUGCGCCAACGCUGGCGAAGCUAGUUUUUAUUUUCUUGACACACUCUAUAGAUUUGUCGAAGCAUUUCUUCUUGGCUGACCGAAGCUCUUUAACAGUUUCUUCUAAAUGAUUUGCCCAUUGGUCGCUGAGUUCUCGCCUUGUUUCUUCAAGUAUGCAUUCCUCUUUAGCUCUGGCUAAUUGUUUACGAAGGUUUUCAAUUUCACACUUCUGAGCUUCGGCCUGACCUUUGAAAAUAGCUUCGUCUUCUUUUAUUUUAUUUAUUAAGGAAUGCAAUAUUUUGUCUUUUUCGAGACCUUCGUUCCUCAGUUCAAUUACUUCGGAACGAAGGUUGCUCAGGGCUAUAGUACAUCCUUCGUCCUCAGCAUCUUUCUGUGCUCUGAGGGCAUUGCUGAGUAUCAGGCCCUGCAGACAGGAAUAUGUCUGUGUUAAUAGUUUUAAACAAACGAAAAAUUUUGAAUUCAACAAAAAUAUAAGAAUUCCAUUUGUCGCACCUUUAAACUGUUGUAAGCUAGGCUGUCAGCCAGAUCGUUCUUUGACAGCACCGAAAGUCCGUCUUCUAAAGUUGGAAAUCCGAAGCUUCUGCUUAUCUCCCGACAGACAGAAAUUUCCUUGCUGUCGGGGAGGCAAUACAAGAAAUCUUCUUCUCCACUGCCAUUAAAUAUCAACGCCCCCUUUGGAUAUUUCAACUUUUGGGCAUAGUGUUGGGCCUCUUGUUCUUCUUUUUCUGUUAAUUUUUUCCCCGAAGCAUGACGAAAAAUAUAAUCACGAAUUUUGGAUACUUCGGGGGUAACAACACCAGUUCCUUCAGCAAAAGUUGGCUUUGUUAUUUUUUCUGUCUCACUUUCCAAGGUCUUUGCCUUUGAGGGCUCUGAGGGCCCAGCUUCGGCUUCAGUAUCUUGCUCUGGAGCUUUAGAACCCGAAGCUUCGACUGUUGUUUUAGGAGUGUCGGCAGCCUUCUUCGGAGGGGUGCUUGAAGAUUUGAUCGUUUCCAGCACAUCUAGCACAUUAGCCAUUCUCCUUCUUUUCGGAGUCACUGCUGGCACUUUUUGAUUACUUACUGUUUCAAUGUUUGCCACAGGACUCAAAACUUCUGAUGUUUUGGAGUCCUCGGUUGCUUCCUUUACCUCUUCCAUUUUUUCUGUGAAUGGCGCUUCGGCCUUCUCUUUCGUCUCUGAUAACAAAAUUUUUGAUUGCUCCAAUUUUGUCUUCGUUGGUAUUUCGACUGUUUCUGCGGCUUCUGGCAGCAAAGUUGGCUCGGCUGGUUUUUCAGCUUCGGUGGCCGAAGAAGUCUCUCCGGUAAACUCAGGCACCGAAGCUGGUUCAAUAUAACGCGGUCGAUAAGUAAGAACCUUUAUCUUCUUCCUUUUCGGUUCUGGCUCGCUAGGAGCAGCUGUAGUUUCUUCUUUUGCAGAGGUUGUAUUUUUUCUCUUCUGCCUUCGAAUGGGGUAGCAAUAGUCAGGGUAGACGAACCCGAUGGCAUCAAAUACCCGAUUCAGCCUUUUCUUUUUUCGGCCUCCGAAGGCUGCUGACAUUGCAGUAUCUUCGGCCUUCGAGUAUGUCCCAAGCAGCUCAUCACUUAAAUUGUCAAUGCUUUUCAACCACUCAUCGUCUGGCUCAAUAAAUUUAUCUUCAAAUUUAAAAGUGUACUUAAACCUGACGAGUCCACCUUCGUCGGCCUUUUUAACGAUUUCUUGGGGCAUUUCCCAUUUCUCCGCAAGCGGCCACACCCUGAAGGCAAUAUGCUCUUGUACUAAGUCCCUUGUUCCUAUAAAAGAGCAGACAACGCCGAAGGCUCUUUGGCACUCUUCGGCGGCUUCGUUCAUUUCAACUUUCGGCCUCCGAAGGCCGAAGCUUUGCCAAAUAGGACGCAUAAUUAUACCUUUGAUGUCUUCUCGUACUGAUAAGUCAUUCUUCACAUAAAACCAUUCUGUCAUCCAAUCCCCGGGCCAUCUCUUCCGAAAGGUUGGUACGGGACAGCUUGCCUCGGACCGAGAGACGAAGCUGUAGCAGCCAAAGUUGUUAUGGUACUGUUCUUUGCCCCAAGGUUUUGUUUCAUAUAAUAAUUCAUGAACAUUACAGAAGCUUCUUGCGUCAGGCUUCAGACCUUGGCUUCUCGUGGCCCACACGAAGAUAUUUAGCCUUAUAAUAGCCUCUGGAGUAAGUUGAUGAAGAUAGACUUCGAAGAUUUUCAACACCUCCACGACGAAGCUGCUCAAGGGGAAUCGCAAUCCGGCUUUCAAAAAGCUUCGGUACACCACAACUUCAUUUUCUUCAGGGUGUGGACAAGUCUUUUCCCCUUCGUCCGCCCUCACAAUGGACAGAUCCCGGAAAUACCUUCCUCUCAUAUUAACAAGAUGAUUCUCUUUGAUAGUUGAUUUACCAUAAACUGAAUGGCUUGGUCGCCAAGGGCGAUCUUCGGAGUCUUCGCCACCGCUGUCCACAUCAUAACUUUCACUGUCACCAGUAUCUUCAGACAGCCCUUCCAGAAUUUCCCUGGUGAUCUUUUCUGUGUUGGUCUUCGACAUUGCUAUAAGAAACCCUAAGUUCUUCUCUUCAUCAAGACUCAGCUUCAUUUCAGCAGCAGCCUUCUUAGCAGCUUCAGACAUCUUCGGAAACACUAAAAAACUGUUUUCAAAGCCGAAGCUUCAAAGCUAAAAGCUUAGCAGAUCACAGUGCACAAGAGCUAAAAAAUGAGUGAGCAAGAGUGGUUGGCCAGAAAGCGUGCAAAAUAAGUUUGCGGUAUGGCCGUAUUUAUACGCUUGAUGCGUUGAAAGUUGAAAGACCCCACUUGUCAUUGAAUGUUGCUAUUCUAGCAAAGGGAAGGUGUUUUUUCGGACCUUCGGCAUAAAGCCUCCGUUCAUAUCGCAAUCUGAAUUUAUUAUUUCAAACAAAUUAAUAUUGCGAGGGGCUACUGUUGGGGGCCUUCGUCCUCCGAAGGUCCUCAAAAACAUGAUUUAACAAUGUUUUCCAAGUGGAUUAUGUGAACAGGUACCUUCGGGCUCAGAAUUACGAACAUGAAGUGCGGUCAGGACGAAGCCUGAACCAGACGAAGGACGGGCUGAUUACCAAGCUCCACGAAGGAUGGUGCACAGCCGAAGCUGUGCGCAGGGAAGCUUCGUCGCGAUAGCAGAGAGGGGAACCGACUUAAAGAUGAAAAGACUACGUGGACCUUGUCAGGUUUCCAUAAGUCAUUGACAAAUGUAAUGGACAUAAAUGUAAUUUUACAUGGGCUGCGUCCCACGUCUAUAAAUAGAUGAACAGUACUCCCGUACUGAUCACGCUGACUUGGCAUUUGCUUUUGCGUCACGCUUGUACUUUUUACCUUCUCUCAGAACCGAAGGUACAUUUGUAAUUUGAAAUCAUUUCUAUUUUUCCAUGUUAAUAAAAUAGAAAUGAUUCUAUGAUGAUGCUUAUAUUAUAUUUCAUGCUUUAUAUGAAUCCUUCGUCAUUAUUUGUUAUGUUUACGAAGGUAUGUCUCUUAUGACCUUCGUCCGAAACUCAUUAUUUCCCGAAGGGACAUAAUGCUUCGAAGGACGAAGGACUUUAACACUUAACACUUUUUAUGUUGCCUUGUUCUUAAUUCUUAGCAUUUGAGAACAAGUCCCCAACAGAAAACUUCUUUAAGAAACUUUGAGAUUGGUGGUGGUGCGGAUGCCAAUUGAAAAACUUCUUUAAGAAACUUUGAGAUUGGUGGUGGUGCGGUCCUUUUGCUUUAGACUAUAUUUCUCCCCCUUUGGCAUUAAUCGCCAAAACAGAGUCUUUUAAGAGCCCUUCUUACUUUUUCCCCAUUGGUACAAAUGAAUAUGGGUGAAGAUUAUACCAAAGUGGAGAGUGGUGCGGAGUGACGGCGAAGGGUAAAUAAUACCAAUAGAGUGGAGUGGAAGCCUUGUCUUCGCCGAAGACUCCAUUUCCCUUUCAAUCUAUGACUUAGUAGGAAUUCUCUUGAAAAUACAUUAGUCAUAGGCAUAAAAGAGAUAUGAUCAAAGGUAUAUAAAUGAGCUAUGUGUACAAAGUAUCAAUCAAAGUUCCAAGAAUCAAGAAUGUUUAGUUCAUUCCUAAGUUUGGUAAAGGUUUUCUCAUCUAAUGGUUUGGUAAAGAUAUCGGCUAAUUGUUCUUUGGUGCUAACAUAAGCAAUCUCGAUAUCCCCCUUUUGUUGGUGAUCCCUCAAAAAGUGAUACCGAAUGGCUAUGUGCUUAGUGCGGCUGUGUUCAACGGGAUUAUCCGCCAUGCGGAUUGCACUCUCAUUAUCACAUAGGAGAGGGACUUUGCUCAAUUUGUAGCCAUAGUCCCUAAGGGUUUGCCUCAUCCAAAGUAAUUGCGCACAACAAUGGCCUGCGACAAUAUACUCGGCUUCGGUGGUAGAAAGAGCUACUGAGUUUUGUUUCUUUGAAGCCCAAGACACCAGGGAUCUUCCCAAAAACUGACAAGUCCCUGAUGUGCUCUUCCUAUCAAUUUUACACCCUGCCCAAUCAGCAUCUGAAUAACCUAUUAAAUCAAAGGUGGAUCCCCUAGGGUACCAAAGACCAAACUUAGGUGUAUGAACUAAAUAUCUCAUGAUUCCUUUCACGACCCUAAGGUGAACUUCCUUAGGAUCGACUUGGAACCUUGCACACAUGCAUACUAAAAGCAUAAUAUCCGGUCGAGAUGCACAUAAAUAGAGUAAAGAUCCUAUCAUCAAUCGAUAUACCUUUUGAUCUAUGGAUUUACCUCCCGUGUAGAGGUCGAGAUGCCCAUUUGUUCCCAUGGGUGUCUUGAUGGCCUUGGCAUCCUUCAUUCCAAACUUGGUAAGUAUGUCUUGAAUGUACUUCGUUUGGCUGAUGAAGAUGCCCUCUUGGAGUUACUUGACUUGAAAUCCUAAGAAAUACUUCAACUCCCCCAUCAUAGACAUCUCGAAUUUUUGAAUCAUUAUCCUACUAAACUCUUCACAAGUAGAUUUGUUAGUAGACCCAAAUAUGAUAUCAUCAACACAAAUUUGGCAUACAAACAAAUAAAUUGCAAUGGUUUUAGUAAAGAGUGUAGGAUUGGCUUUUCCGACUUUGAAAUCAUUAGUGAUAAGGAAAUCUCUUAGGCAUUCAUACCAUGCUCUUGGGGCUUGCUUGAGCCCAUAAAGCACCUUUGAGAGUUUAUACACAUGGUUAGGGUACUCACUAUCUUCAAAGCCGGGAGGUUGCUCAACAUAGACCUCUUCCUUGAUUGGUUCAUUGAUGAAGGCACUUUUCACGUCCAUUUGAUAAAGCUUAAAGCCAUGGUAAGUACCAUAGGCAAGUAAUAUGCGAAUUAAUUCAAGCCUAGCUACGGGUGCAUAGGUUUCACCGAAAUCCAAACCUUCGACUUGUGAAUAUCCCUUGGCCACAAGUCAGGCUUUGUUCCUCGUCACCACACCAUGCUCAUCUUGCUUGUUGCGGAAUACCCACUUGGUUCCUACAACAUUUUGGUUAGGACGUGGAACAAGAUGCCAUACCUCAUUCCUCGUGAAGUUGUUGAGCUCCUCUUGCAUUGCCAACACCCAAUCUGAGUCUCUUAAUGCAUCUUCCACCCUGUAUGGCUCAAUGGAAGACACAAAGGAGUAAUGUUCACAAAAAUGAGCGACACGAGAUCGAGUGGUUACCCCCUUAUGAAUAUCACCGAGGAUGAAGUUCACGGGGUGAUCUCGUUGUAUCGCUUGGUGGACUCUUGGGUGUGGUGGUCUUUGACCCUGUUCUUCUUGAUCAUCUUCCUUGUCUUGAUCAUUGUCAUCUCCUCCUUGAUCAUUGUCCUUCUAUUGAGGUGGCUCAUUGUCUUCAUCUUCUUCUUCAUUGUCUUGAGCUUGAUCCUCAUCUUGGGUUGGUGGAGAUGCUUGAUUGGAAGAUGAUGGUUGAUCUUGUGCUUGUGGAGGCUCUUUGGAUUCCUUAGGACACACAUCCUCAAUGGACAUGUUUCUUAGUGCGACGCACAGAGCCUCUUCAUCAUCUAGCUCAUCAAGAUCAACUUGCUCUACUUGAGAGCCAUUAGUCUCAUCAAACACAAUGUCACAAGAAACCUCAACUAAUCCAGUGGAUUUGUUGAAGACUCUAUAUGCCCUUGUGUUUGAGUCAUAACCAAGUAAAAAGCCUUCUACAGCCUUAGGAGCAAAUUUAGAUUUUCUACCUCUUUUAACAAGAAUAAAACAUUUGCUGCCAAAGACUCUAAAAUAUGAAACAUUGGGCUUUUUACCGGUGAGGAGUUCAUAUGAUGUCUUCUUGAGGAUUUGGUAAAGAUAUAAUCGGUUGAUGGAGUAGCAGGCGGUGUUAAUCGCCUCAGCCCAAAACCGGUCUGGAGUCUUGUACUCAUCAAGCAUGGUCCUUGCCAUGUCUAGUAGAGUUCUAUUCUUCCUCUCCACUACACCAUUUUGUUGAGGUGUGUAGGGAGAAGAGAACUCAUGCUUGAUUCCCUCAUCCUCAAGAAAGCCUUCAAUUUGAGAGUUCUUGAACUCCGUCCAUUGUCGAUUCUUAUCCUUUUGAUCCUUAAACCGAACUCAUUUUGAGCUCGUCUCAAGAAUCCCUUUAAGGUCUCUUGGGUUUGAGAUUUUUCCUGUAAAAAGAAUACCCAAGUGAAGCGAGAAAAAUCAUCCACAAUUACAAGCCAAUACUUACUCCCGCCGAUGCUUAUGUAAGCUAUCGGGCCGAAUAGAUCCAUGUGGAGUAGCUCAAGCGGCCUGUCGGUUGUCAUGAUGUUCUUCUGUGGAUGGUGGGCACCAACUUGCUUUCCUGCUUGACAUGCGCUACAAACCCUGUCUUUCUCAAAAUGAACAUUUGUUAGUCCUAAAAUGUGUUCUCCCUUUAGAAGCUUGUGAAGAUUCUUCAUCCCAACAUGGGCUAGUCGGCGAUGCCAAAGCCAACCCAUAUUAGUCUUAGCAAUUAAGCAAGUAUCGAGUUCAACUAUAUUGAAAUCAACUAAGUAUAGCUGACCCUCGAGUACUCCCUUAAAUGCUACUGAAUCAUCACUUCUUCUAAAGACAGUAACACCUAUAUCCGUAAAAAGGCGAUUGUAACCCAUUUUGCAUAAUUGAGAAACUGAAAGCAAGUUAUAAUCUAAAGAAUCUACAAGAAAAACAUUAGAAAUGGAAUGGUCAGGUGAUAUAGCAAUUUUACCAAGUCCUUUGACCAAACCUUGAUUUCCAUCCUCGAAUGUGAUAGCUCUUUGAGGAUCUUCGUUUUUCUCAUAGGAGGAGAACUGAGAGCACCUAGAGGAGGGAUGAAUAGGUGAUCCUGUAAAAUCAAACACUAAAUAGCCACAAGACUUAGUUUAUUAUAGAGUUAGUGCGACUAAGUAGCUUUGAAGCGUAUUCUUGUGAACACAACAAUCACAGAGAAAGCAACACAAAAGACACACGAUUUUUAUCCCAUGGUUCGGCCAAGUAACCCUUGCCUACUUCCACGUUGUGGCGUCCCAAUGGACGAGGGUUGCACUCAACCCCUUUCAAGUGAUCCAAUGAUCAACUUGAAUACCACGAUCUUUUCCUUUAGAGUCUUUUCCUGUGUGCGAGGAAUCUCCACAGUUUGGAGUCUCUCGCCCUUACAAUAGAGAUCACAAAGAAAGCACAUAGUAAGGUUGGAGAGAGAAACACACACAAGACUCAAAUCUGCAGCACAACCACGCACACAAGUCACGACUUGAGCUCGAAACACAACACACGGAGUUCGCAACUCAAAUGGAGCUCAAAUCACUAACACAAAGAAUCAAAUGCGUGGAGUCGGAGUCUGGGAGUCUUAGAAUGUUUAUUGAAAGCUUGGUGUUCUCCUCCAUGUGCCUAGGGGUCCCUUUUAUAGCCCAAGGCAGCUAGGAGCCGUUGGAGAUCAACUUGGAAGGCAAUUCCUGCCUUCUGUCGAGUGGCGCACCGGAUAGUCCGGUGCACCACCGGACAGUCCGGUGCACCACCGGACAUCCAUUGUUCAUGUCCGGUGCACGAUCUCCUUCAAAAUCAGGCGUAUCCGACUGUUGCUCCUCCGGGCCCGUUGGCGCACCGGACACUGUCUGGUGCACCAGCUGACCGUUGUAGCAGUCUACGUGUCGCCCGCAGAUUGCGAGGCCGACCGUUGGCGCUAGCGGCCGUUGGCUCACCGGACAGUCCGGUGAAUUAUAGCCACGUCGCGUUUUCUGUUUCCCGAGAGUAGCGAGUUCGUCGCGGAUGACUCACCGGACAGUCUAGUGCACAACUAGACAGUCCGGUGAAUUUUAGCCGUACAACUCCGUCGAUUCCCGAGAGCAGCUGGUUCACCGUCAGCCAGCCUCGGGCACAGGACACUGUCCGGUGCACCACCGAACAGUCCGAUGUGCCAGGCCGAGCUGGUGUUGGCUGCACACAGCCAACUCUUUCCCUUUUCUUUUCUUCUUCUUUUGUCACUGUUUCUAGCACUUAGACAAACACAUUAGUACUCAAAAACAAUAUACUAAGUCUAGAAACAUACCUUGUAAUAUGAUUUGUAUUUCUCUCUUCAUUUAGCACAUAAGAAUUUAAUCAAUCGUGUUGGGCAUUUAAUCACCAAAACAUUAUAGAAAUGGCCCAAGGGCACAUUUCCCUUUCAAUCUCCCCCUUUUUGGUGAUUCAUGCCAACACAUCAAAAAGCAACAAAAAGAAGUGCAACAUCAAUGCCAAUGAAAACCAAAUUCUCUUUACUUAGGGUUUGACAUAUUUGGAUCAUUCUUUGCCACCACUUGGUUUGUUUUUGCAAAUCAAAUUCAUUUUCCUAUCUCUAAGUUAAACACGGUUGUUUGGGCACAUAGAGAGAUAUUCCAAGAGUAAAAUUAAUCAAGUGCCAAAAACUCUCCCUUUUUCCCAUAAUAAAAAAUUCUCCCCACAAGAGACCAAAUUUUGCAAUUAGAGUAUUUUGAGCAAAUCAUAAAUUCUUACUCUAUUAUUUUCAAGGCUGAUCCAUUUGCUUUGGCCUUAAUUUUUCCCCCUUUGGCAUUAAGCACCAAAACGGGAUCAUUUUUGGCCCUUUAACCCCAUUGCUUCACCGAAAAUGUUAAUUAAGAGCAAAAGGCAAUGAGAGCAUAAGUAUGAACUUGGAAUUAAAUACACUAAUACCAGAGUGCAGUGGAAGUCUUUGCGUCGUCCAAGUUUAGUUUCCCUUUCAAUGUACCUUUGAGACUACAUCAGGUGUACUUAAACAAACAUGUUAGUAUCAAAGGAUCAAGUUGUAGCACAUCUCCCCCUUAAUAUGUGCACCAUUUUGCAUAUGGACUUGUGAGGUCCGGGGAUCACUUGUACAACUUGAGCACCAUAAACAAAUGUUGUAAAUGCAUAAAGUAACACGAUCAAAGGCAUAGAACACAUGUAUGUUGUAGAUCAAUCCAAGUUACGCGAAUCUAAGACAUUUAGCUCACUUCGCAACCUGCAAAACCUUUUCUCAUCUAAAGGCUUAGUGAAGAUAUCGGCUAGCUGGUUCUCGGUGCAAAUAUGGUACACCUCAAUAUCUCCCUUUUGCUGGUGGUCUCUCAGGAAGUGAUGCCGGAUGUCUAUGUGCUUAGUGCGGCUGUGUUCAACAGGAUUUGCCGCCAAGCGGAUUGCACUCUCAUUGUCACAUAGGAGUGGGACUUUGCUCAUAUUGUAGCCAAAGUCCUGGAGGGUUUGCCUCAUCCAAAGUAGUUGCGCGCAACACUAUCUUGCGGCAACGUACUCGGCCUCAGCGGUGGAUAGGGCAACAGAGGUUUGUUUCUUAGAACUCCAGGACACCAGGGACUUUCCUAGAAAUUGGCACGUCCCUGAUGUACUCUUCCUAUCAACCUUGCAUCCGACAUAAUCAGAGUCUGAAUAUCCAAUCAAGUCAAAGGUAGACCCCUUUGGAUACCAGAUCCCAAAGCAAGGCGUAGCAACUAAAUAUCUAAGAAUUCGCUUAACGGCCACAAGGUGACAUUCCUUGGGGUUGGAUUGAUAUUUAGCACACAUGCAUACACUAAGCAUAAUGUCCGGUCUACUAGCACAUAAAUAAAGUAAUGAAUCUAUCAUGGACCGGUUUGCCUUUUGAUCAACGGACUUACCUCCUUUGUUGAAAUCAAUGUGCCCGUCAGUUCCCAUCAGUGUCUUCGCGGGCUUGGCGUCCUUCAUCCCAAACCUCUUGAGAAGAUCCUGAGUGUACUUCGUUUGUGAGAUGAAGGUGCCAUCCUUGAGUUGAUUCACUUGGAAUCCAAGGAAUUAGGACAACUCGCCCAUCAUCGACAUCUCAAACUUUUGCGUCAUUACCCUGCUAAACUCUUCACAAGACUUUUGGUUAGUAGAACCAAAUAUUAUGUCAUCGACAUAAAUUUGGCACACAAAGAGAUCACCAUCACAAGUCUUUGUAAAAAGAGUGGGAUCGGCUUUCCCAACCUUGAAAGCAUUAGCAAUUAAGAAAUCUCUAAGGCAUUCAUACCAUGCUCUUGAGGCUUGCUUAAGUCCAUAGAGCGCCUUAGAUAGCUUAUACACGUGGUCGAGAUACCUGUCGUCCUCAAAGCCAGGGGGUUGUUCCACGUAUACCUCCUCCUUGAUUGGCCCGUUGAGGAAAGCGCUCCUCACGUCCAUUUGGAACAGCCUAAAAGAAUGGUGAGCGGCAUAGGCUAACAAAAUUCGAAUUGACUCUAACCUAGCCACAGGAGCAAAAGUCUCCUCGAAAUCCAAACCUGUGACUUGGGCAUAACCUUUUGCCACAAGUCGAGCCUUGUUUCUUGUCACCACUCCAUGCUCGUCUUGCUUGUUGCGGAACACCUAGUUGGUUCCCACAAUGUUUUGCUUUGGACGUGGCGCGAGGCUCCAGACUUCGUUUCUCUUGAAGUUGUUGAGCUCUUCCUGCAUGGCCAGCACCCAGUCAGGAUCCUGCAAGGCCUCUUCUACCCUGAAAGGCUCAAUAGAAGAGACAAACGAGUAAUGCUCACAAAAAUUAGCUAAGCGUGAGCGAGUGGUUACUCCCUUGCUGAUGUCACCUAGAAUUUGAUCGACGAGGUGAUGUCUUUGGAUCGACGCUCGGACUUGAGUUGGAGGGACCCGUGGUGCUUCUUCCUCCAUCACUUGAUCUUCUUGUGCUCCCCCUUGAUCCCGCUCCUCUUCUUGAGGUACCUGUCCAUCAUCUUGAGUUGGGGGAUGCACCAUUGUAGAGGAAGAUGGUUGAUCUUGCUCCUGUUGUUCCUGUGGUCACACAUCACCUAUCGCCAUCGUGCGCAUUGCAGCCGUUGGAACUUCAUCCUCAUCUAUGUCAUCAAGAUCAACUUGCUCUCAUGGAGAGCCAUUAGUCUCAUCAAAUACAGCGUCGCUAGAGACUUCAACUAAUCCUGAUGAUUUGUUGAAGACCCUAUACGCCUUUGUAUUUGAUUCAUACCCUAGUAAAAAACCCUUCUACUGCCUUGGGAGCAAAUUUAGAAUGUCUACCUUUCUUCACCAGAAUGUAGCAUUUGCUCCCAAAUACACGAAAGUAAGAGACAUUGGGUUUGUUACCGGUAAGGAGUUCAUAGGAGGUCUUCUUGAGGAGGCGAUGCAGAUAGAGCCGGUUUAUGGCAUGGCAAGCUGUGUUCAUAGCUUCCGAUCAAAACCGCUCAGGCGUCUUGUACUCUCCAAGCAUUAUUAUCGCCAUGUCAAUUAGCGUCCUGUUCUUCCUCUCUACCACACCAUUUUGUUGUGGUGUGUAGGGAGCGGAGAACUCGUGCUUGAUGCCUUCCUCCUCAAGAAACUCUUCAACUUGCAGAUUCUUGAACUCGGACCCAUUGUCGCUCCUUAUCUUCUUCACCUUUAGCUCAAAUUCAUUUUGAGCUCUCCUUAGAAAGCGCUUUAGGGUCCCUUGGGUUUCUGAUUUGUCCUGCAAAAAGUACACCCAAGUGAAGCGGGAAAAGUCAUCAACAAUUACAAUACCAUACUUACUUCCCCCGAUGCUAAGGUAGGCAACGGGUCCAAAGAGGUCCAUGUGAAGAAGCUCCAGUGGUCUUGAUGUUGUCAUCACAUUCUUGCUGUGAUGAGUACUUCCCACCUGUUUCCCUGCCUGACAUGCUACACAAGGCCUGUCUUUCUCAAAACAGACAUCGGUUAGUCCUAACACAUGAUCUCCCUUUAGAAGUUUAUAUAGGUUCUUCAUCCCAACAUGUGCUAGACGGCGAUGCCAAAGCCAGCCCAUAUUAGUCUUAGCUAUUAAGCAUGCAUCUAGAUCAGCCUCCUCUUUCAAAAAAUCAACUAAGUAGAGUUUGCCGUCUAAUACACCCUUAAAAGCUAAUGAACCAUCACUCCUUCUAAAGACAUAUACAUCAACGUUUGUAAAAAGACAAUUGUAACCCAUGUGACACAAUGACUUACAGAUAACAGAUUAUACCCGAGCGAUUCAACUAAAAACACAUUAGAGAUAGAAUGCUCGGAUGUAAUGGCUAUUUUUCCUAAUCCUUUGACCUUGCCUUGGUUCCCAUCUCCAAAGAUGAUCGUAUCCUGGGAAUCCUCGUUCUUGACGUAGGAGGUGAACAUCUUCUUUUCCCCCGUCAUAUGGUUUGUGCAUCCGCUGUCGAUUAUCCAGCUAGAGCCCCCGGAUGCAUAAACCUGCAAGGCAAUUUUAAACUUGGGUUUUAGGUACCCAACUCUUGUUGGGUCCUACAAGGUUAGUCACAAUAGUUUUUGGAACCCAAAUACAAGUGUGGAGGUUUUCCAAGGGGAAUUGAUAGUAAAUGCACAUUUGUAUUGUAUGGCAUGCGAGAAUAGUCAAAAGAGUAGUUCUGAUUAACCGUUUUCUUUUUCGACGAAGAGUCGUUGUCGUCGUCUCUUGGUGAAGAAGAUGAUGCAUCACUGUCGUAGUAGAUGAUCUUCUUGAUGCGUCUCUUCUUCUUCCCGUCCCUCUUCUUGUGACUCGAGCCUGAGUCAGUGGGCUUGUUGUCUCUUGGCUCGUUGAAGAGGGACUCCUUCUCCUUAUCAUUGACCACCAUUCCCUUACCCUUAGGAUCCAUCUCUUCGGGCAGUUAAUCCCUUAGAUGAAGAGUACGACUCUGAUACCAAUUGAGAGCACCUAGAGGGAGGGUGAAUAGGUGAUUCUGUAAACUCAAACACUAAAUAGCCACAAGACUUAGUUUAUUAGAGAGUUAGUGCGACUAAGUAGGUUUGAAGCGUAUUCUUGUGAACACAACAAUCACAGAGAAAGCAACACAAGAGACAUGCGAUUUUUAUCUCGUGGUUUGGCCAAGUAACACUUGCCUACUUCCACGUUGUGGCGUCCCAAUGGACGAGGGUUGCACUCAACCCCUUUCAAGCGAUCCGAUGAUCAACUUGAAUACCACAGUCUUUUCCUUUAGAGUCUUUUCCCGUGUGCGAGGAAUCUCCACAGUUUGGAGUCUCUCGCCCUUACAAUAGAGAUCAUAAAGAAAGCACAGAGUAAGGUUGGAGAGAGCAACACACGCAAGACUCAAAUCCGCAGCACAACCACGCACACAAGUCACGACUUGAGCUCGAAACAUAACACACGGAGUUCGCAACUCAAAUGGAACUCAAAUCACUAACACAAAGAAUCAAAUGCGUGGAGUCGGAGUCUGGGAGUCUUAGAAUGUUUCUUGAAAGCUUGGUGUUCUCCAUGCGCCUAGGGGUCCCUUUUAUAACCCAAGGCACCUAGGAGCCAUUGGAGAUCAACUUGGAAGGCAAUUCCUGCCUUCUGUCGAGUGGUGCACCGGACAAUCCAGUGCACCCCCGGACAUCCAUUGUUCAUGUCCGGUGCACGAUCUCCUUCCAAAUUAGGCGUAUCCGACCGUUGCUCCUCCGGGCCCGUUGGCGCACCGGACACUGUCCGGUGCAUACCGGACAGUCCGGUGCACCAGCUGACCGUUGGAGCAGUCCACGUGUCGCCCGCAGAUUGCACGGCCGACCGUUGGCGCUGGCGACCGUUGGCUCACCGGAUAGUUUGGUGCACCACCGGACAGUCCGGUGAAUUAUAGCCACGUCGCCUUUUUCCAUUUCCCGAGAGCAGCGAGUUCAUCGCGGAUGACUCACCGGACAGUCCGGUGAAUUUUAGCCGUAUAACUCCGUCGAUUCCUGAGAGCAGCUGGUUCACCGUCAGCCAGCCUGGGGCACCGGACACUGUCCGGUGCACCACCGAACAGUCCGGUGUGCCAGGCCGAGCUGGUGUUGGCUGCACACAGCCAACUCUUUCCCUUUUUCUUUUCUUCUUCUUUUGUCACUGUUUCUAGCACUUAGACAAACACAUUAGUACUCAAAAACAAUAUACUAAAUCUAGAAACAUACCUUGUAAUAUGAUUUGUAUUUCUCUCUUCAUUUAGCACAUAAGAAUUUAAUCAAUCGUGUUGGGCAUUUAAUCACCAAAACAUUAUAGAAAUGGCCCAAGGGCACAUUUCCCUUUUAAGAACAUCAUUUUCUCCCAUGUCAUGUGGUUUGUGCAUUCGCUAUCAAUGAUCCAACUUGAGCCCUGGGAUGCAUAAACCAACGAAACAAGUUUAGGCCUUGUUCUUAGGUACCCAAACGGUCUUGGGUCCUUUCACAUUAGAAACAAGCACCUUGGGUACCCAAACACAAGUCUUGGAGCCCUUGUGUGUGCCCCCAACAUAUUUGGCAACUACUUUGCCUGAUUUGUUAGUCAAAACAUAAGAUGCAUCAAAAGUCUUAAAUGAAACAUUUGGUUCAUUUGAUGCAGUAGGAGUUUUCUUUUUAGGCAAUUUAACAUGGGUUGAUUGCCUAGAGCUAGAAACCUCAUUUUUAUACAUAAAAGCAUGAUGUGAAAUAUUAUGAGGUUUCCUAGCAUGGAUUCUCCUAAUCUUAUGCUCAGGAUAACCAGCAGGAUAUAAAAUGUAACCCUCGUUAUCCUGAGCCAUGGGAGCCUUGCCCUUAACAAAAUUAGACAGUUUCUUUGGGGCAUUAAGCUUGACAUUGUCUCCCUGUUGGAAACCAAUGCCAUCCUUAAUGUCAGGGCGUCUCCCAUUAUAGAGCAUGCUCCUAGCAAAUUUAAAUUUUUCAUUUUCUAUCUCAUGCUCAUUGAUUUUAGCAGUAAGUUGAGCUAUGUGAUCAUCAAUAGUGAAAGGGAAUUAGGCUUACACCUAGUUCCUAAUUAAUUUUGGUGGUUGAAUUGCCCAACACAAAUAUUUGGACUAACCAGUUUGCUCUAGAUUAUAUGUUCUACAGGUGUCAAAGGUUCAUCUACAACUAUACUAAAUCGACUGUCCGGAAUACCGUAGAUUAUUCCGGACAGGAGAAGCUUUUUGGAAAAACAGGCCAAGCGCGGACCAUCCGGGCCCUUGCGGCGGACCGUCCGCGACACAAGGAUGACCCUCGGACAGAACCAAUGCAAAAAUCCGAGUUUGCACUAUGGACCGUCCGAAAGAUAAGCGCAGACCGUCUGGGACCUCGCUCGGACCGUCCGGCCUCAGGCGCGGACCGUCCGGUAGGCAAGGAUCUGAAAAACCCGAAGGUGACGGGUUCGGAAGAAUGAAUUAUAGCGGCCUCGCGGACCGUCCGGGGUGCACGACCGGACCGUCCGCGACUGGGUCUGUCUGACAUCUGACGACGCAUUAAAUGCAAUAUAGCCGUUGAUAUAGCCGUUACUGCUGACCGUUGCGUUUUCAGCCGUUGAUCUACAGGCGCGGACCGUCCGGACCAGACGGGCGGACCGUCCGUGGUCGGCAGAAUGGAGCAACGGCUAGGAAGUGGUUGGUGGCUAUAAAUACAACCCCAACCACCUCCAUUCACUUCACCCAAACAUUCCAACCUUCAACAUUCAAUACAAGAGCUAGCAAUCCAUUCCAAGACACAUUCAAAGCCUCCAUCUCUCCAAGUUUCACAAUUGAGAAAAGAGAUCAUUAGUGAUUAGUGACUUGAGAGAGAAAGUGAUCCAUGUGUUAUUUGUCGCUCUUGUCGCUUGGCUUUUGCAAUCGUGCUUUCUUUCAAUCUUCAUUGCGAUCAAACUCACUUGUAAUUGAGGCAAGAGACACCAAUCUUGUGGUGGUCCUUGUGGGAACUUUGUGUUCCAAGCAUUUGAGAAGAGAAAGCUCACUCGGUCCGAGGGACCGUUUGAGAGAGGGAAAGGGUUGAAAAAGACCCGACCUUUGUGGCCUCCUCAACGGGGAGUAGGUUUGCGAGAACCGAACCUUGGUAAAACAAAUCCUUGUGUCUCACUUCCAUAUUCGCUUGCGAUUUGUUUUGCACCCUCUCUCGCGGACUCAAUUAUAUUUCUAACGCUAACCCGACUUGUAGUUGUGAUUAAUUUUGUAAAUUUCAGUUUCGCCCUAUUCACCCCCCCUCUAGGCGACUUUCAAUUGGUAUCGGAGCCCGGUGCUUCAUUAGAGCCUAACCGCUCGAAGUGAUGUCGGGAGAUCACACCAAGAGGGAGAUGGAGACCGGCGACAAGCCCACUACGAGCCAAGGGAGCACUUCAUCGGAAGAGUCCCGCACCAAGAGGAAGGAAAAGAAGAAGGACUCCUCCAAACGGAAGGAGAAAAGAUCUUCUUCACACCACAAAGAGAAGAAGGAAAAAUCUUCUUCCCACAAGUCGCAUCGGAAAGGCGACAAGCACAAGAGGAUGAGGAAAGUGGUCUACUACGAGACCGACACUUCAUCAACAUCGACCUCCGACUCCGAUGCGCCGUCCGUAACUUCUAAGCGCCAAGAGCGCAAGAAGUUUAGUAAGAUCCCCUUACACUAUCCUCGUACACCUAGACAUACUCCAUUACUUUCCGUUCCAUUAGGCAAACCGCCAACUUUUGAUGGCGAAGAUUAUGCUAGGUGGAGUGACUUAAUGAAAUUUCAUCUAACCUCACUCCACAAAAGUAUAUGGAAUGUUGUUGAGUUUGGAGCACAGGUACCAUCCAUAGGGGGUGAGGAUUAUGAUACGGACGAAGUGGCCCAAAUCGAGCACUUCAACUCUCAAGCUACAACCAUACUCCUCGCCUCUCUAAGUAAGGAGGAAUACAACAAGGUGCAAGGGUUGAAGAAUGCAAAGGAGAUUUGGGACCUUCUCAAGACCGCGCACGAGGGUGAUGAACUCACCAAGAUCACCAAGCGGGAAACGAUCGAGGGGGAGCUCGGUCGCUUCCGUCUUCGCCAAGGGGAGGAGCCACAAGAUAUGUACAACCAGCUCAAAACCUUGGUGAACCAAGUGCGCAACCUCGGGAGCAAGAAGUGGGAUGACCACGAGGUGGUUAAGGUUAUUUUAAGAUCACUUAUUUUCCUUAACCCUACUCAAGUACAAUUAAUUCGUGGUAAUCCAAGAUAUACACUAAUGACUCCCGAGGAAGUAAUCGGGAAUUUUGUGAGCUUUGAAUGUAUGAUCAAGGGCUCAAAGAAGAUCAACGAGCUUGACGAUCCCUCCACGUCCGAAGCACAACCGGUGGCUUUUAAGGCGACGGAGGAGAAGAAGGAGGAGUCUACACCAAGUAGACAACCAAUUGACGCCUCCAAGCUCGACAAUGAGGAGAUGGCUUUAAUCAUCAAAAGCUUUCGCCAAAUCCUCAAGCAACGGAAGGGGAUGGAUUACAAACCCCGUUCCAAGAAGGUUUGCUACAAGUGUGGUAAGCCCGGUCACUUUAUUGCUAAAUGUCCAUUAUCAAGUGACAGUGACAGGGAUAACAACAAGAAGGGCAAGAGGAGAGAAAAGAAGAGGUACCACAAGAAGAGGGGAGGCGAUGCCCACGUGUGCCGCGAGUGGGACUCCGACGAGAGCUCCACCGAGUCCUCCUCCGACGAGGACGCCGCCAACAUCGCCGUCACCAAGGGACUCCUCUUCCCCAACGUCGGCCACAAGUGCCUCAUGGCAAAGGACGGCAAAAGGAAGAAGGUUAAAUCUAAAUCCUCCACUAAAUAUGAAUCCUCUAUUGAUGAUAAUGCUAGUGAUGAGGAAAAUAAUUUGCACCCUUUUUGCCGACCUAAACAUGCAACAAAAGGAAAAAUUAAAUGAGUUGAUUAGUGCUAUUCAUGAGAAGGAUGAUCUCUUGGACUCUCAAGAGGACUUCCUUAUUAAGGAAAACAAAAAGCAUGUUAAGGUCAAAAAUGCUUAUGCUCUACAAGUUGAAAAAUGUGAAAAAUUGUCUAGUGAGCUAAGCACUUGCCAUGAGACUAUUGACAACCUUAGAAAUGAAAAUACUAGAUUAAUUGCUAAGGUUGAUUCUCAUGUAUGUAAUGUCUCAAUUCGCAAUCUUAGAAAUGAUAAUGAUGAUUUGCUUGCUAAAAUUAAGGAAUUGAAUGAUUCUCUUGAUAGCCAUAGAGUAGAAAAUGAAAAUUUGAUUGCUAAGGCUAAAGAUUUUGAUGUUUGCAAUACUACUAUUUCCGACCUUAGAACUAAGAAUGAUAUGUUGCAUGCUAAGGUUGUAGAACUAAAAUCUUGCAAACCCUCUACAUCUACCGUUGAGCACACUUCUAUUUGUACUAGAUGUAGAGAUGUUGAUAUCGAUGCUAUUCAUGAUCACAUGGCUUUAAUUAAACAACAAAAUGAUCAUAUAGCGUUAUUAGAUGCUAAAAUUGCCGAGCAUAACUUAGAAAAUGAAAAGUUUAAAUUUGCUAGAAGUAUGCUCUAUAAUGGGAGACGCCCUGGCAUCAAGGAUGGUAUUGGCUUCCAAAGGGGAGACAAUAUCAAACUUAAUGCUAAGAACUUGUCUAACUUUGUUAAGGGCAAGGCUCCCAUGCCUCAGGAUAACGAGGGUUACAUUUUGUACCCUGCCGGCUAUCCCGAGAACAAAAUUAGGAGAGUUCAUUCUAGGAAGUCUCACUCUGGCCCUAACCAUGCUUUUAUGUAUAAGGGUGAGACAUCUAGCUCUAGGCAACCAACCCGUGCUAAGUUGCCUAAAAAGAAAACUCCUAGUGCAUCAAAUGAUCAUGACAUUUUAUUUAAGACUUUUGAUGCAUCUUAUGUGCUUACUAACAAAUCCGGCAAGGUAGUUGCCAAGUUUGUUGGGGGCAAACACAAGGGGUCAAAGACUUGUGUUUGGGUACCCAAAGUUCUUAUUUCUAAUGCCAAAGGACCCAAGACCGUUUGGGUACCUAAAAUCAAGAACUAAAAUUGUUUUGUAGGUUUAUGCAUCCGGGGUCUCAAGCUGGAUACUCGACAGCGGGUGCACAAACCAUAUGACAGGGGAGAAGAAGAUGUUCUCCUCAUAUGAGAAAAACCAAGAUCCCCAACGAGCUAUCACAUUCGGGGAUGGAAAUCAAGGUUUGGUCAAAGGAUUGGGUAAAAUUGCUAUAUCACCUGACCAUACUAUUUCCAAUGUUUUUCUUGUAGAUUCUUUAGAUUACAAUUUGCUUUCUGUAUCUCAAUUAUGUCAAAUGGGCUACAACUGUCUCUUUACUGAUGUAGGUGUCACUGUCUUUAGAAGAAGUGAUGAUUCGAUAGCAUUUAAGGGAGUGUUAGAGGGUCAGCUAUACUUGGUAGAUUUUGAUAGAGCUGAACUCGACACUUGCUUAAUUGCUAAGACUAACUUAGGUUGGCUCUGGCACCGCUGACUAGCCCAUGUUGGAAUGAAGAAUCUUCAUAAGCUUCUAAAGGGAGAACACAUUUUAGGACUAACAAAUGUUCAUUUUGAGAAAGACAGGAUUUGUAGCGCAUGCCAAGCCGGGAAGCAAGUUGGCACUCAUCAUCCACACAAGAACAUCAUGACAAGUGACAGACCACUGGAGCUCCUACACAUGGAUUUAUUCGGCCCGAUCGCUUACAUAAGCAUCGGCGGGAGUAAGUACUGUCUAGUUAUUAUGGAUGAUUAUUCUCGCUUCACUUGGGUGUUCUUUUUGCAGGAAAAAUCUCAAACCCAAGAAACCUUAAAGGGAUUCUUGAGACGGGCUCAAAAUGAGUUCGGCUUAAGGAUCAAGAAAAUCAGAAGCGACAACGGGACGGAGUUCAAGAACUCUCAAAUCGAAGGCUUCCUUGAGGAAGAGGGCAUCAAGCAUGAGUUCUUUUCUCCCUACACGCCACAACAAAAUGGUGUAGUGGAGAGGAAGAAUCGAACUCUAUUGGACAUGGCAAGGACCAUGCUUGAUGAGUACAAGACUUCGGAUCGGUUUUAGGCCGAGGCGGUCAACACCGCCUGUUACGCCAUCAACCGGUUAUAUCUUCACCGAAUCCUCAAGAAGACAUCGUAUGAACUCCUAACCGGUAAAAAGCCCAAUAUUUCAUAUUUUAGAGUCUUUGGUAGCAAAUGCUUUAUUCUUGUUAAAAGAGGUAGAAAAUCAAAAUUUGCUCCUAAGACUGUAGAAGGCUUUUUACUAGGAUAUGAUUCAAACACAAGGGCAUAUAGAGUCUUUAACAAGUUCUCUGGACAAGUUGAAGUUUCUUGUGACGUUGUGUUUGAUGAGACUAACGGCUCUCAAGUAGAGCAAGUUGAUCUUGAUGAGAUAGGUAAUGAAGAGGCUCCAUGCAUCGCGCUAAGGAACAUGUCCCUUAGGGAUGUGUGUCCUAAGGAAUCCGAAGAGCCUCCAAAUGAACAAGAUCAACCAUCCUCCUCCACGCAAGCAUCUCCACCGACUCAAAAUGAGGAUGAAGCUCAAGUUGAUGAAAUAGAAGAUCAAGCAAAUGAGCCACCUCAAGAUGACAACAAUGAUCAAGGGGGAGAUGCAAAUGAUCAAGACAAGGAGGAUGAAGAACAAAGGCCGCCACACCCAAGAGUCCACCAAGCAAUUCAACGAGAUCACCCCGUCGACACCAUCCUCGGCGACAUUCAUAAGGGGGUAACCACUAGAUCUCGGGUUGCACAUUUUUGUGAGCAUUACUCUUUUGUUUCCUCUAUUGAGCCACACAGGGUAGAGGAAGCACUUCAAGAUUCGGAUUGGGUGGUGGCGAUGCAAGAGGAGCUCAACAACUUCACUAGGAAUGAGGGUAUGGCAUUUGGUUCCACGUCCUAAUCAAAAUGUUGUAGGAACCAAGUGGGUCUUCCGCAACAAACAAGACGAGCAUGGUGUGGUGACAAGGAACAAAGCUCGACUUGUGGCUAAGGGAUACUCCCAAGUCGAAGGUUUGGAUUUCGGUGAAACCUAUGCACCCGUAGCUAGGCUUGAGUCAAUUCGUAUAUUAUUGGCCUAUGCUACUAACCAUGGCUUCAAGCUUUAUCAAAUGGACGUGAAAAGUGCCUUCCUCAACGGACCAAUCAAGGAAGAGGUCUAUGUUGAGCAACCUCCCGGCUUUGAAGAUAGUGAGUACCCUAACCAUGUGUAUAAACUCUCUAAGGCGCUUUAUGGGCUCAAGCAAGCCCCAAGAGCAUGGUAUGAAUGCCUUAGAGAUUUCCUUAUUGCAAAUGGAUUCAAAGUCGGAAAAGCCGAUCCUACACUCUUUACCAAAACACUUGAAAAUGAUUUGUUUGUAUGCCAAAUUUAUGUUGAUGAUAUCAUAUUUGGGUCUACUAACGAAUCUACAUGUGAAGAGUUUAGUAGGAUCAUGACACAGAAAUUUGAGAUGUCUAUGAUGGGGGAGUUGAAGUACUUCUUAGGAUUUCAAGUGAAGCAACUCCAAGAGGGCACCUUCAUCAGCCAAACGAAGUAUACUCAAGACAUUCUAAACAAGUUUGGGAUGAAGGACGCCAAACCCAUCAAGACACCCAUGGGAACCAAUGGGCAUCUCGACCUCGACACGGGAGGUAAAUCCGUCGAUCAAAAGGUAUACCGGUCGAUGAUAGGCUCAUUACUCUAUUUAUGUGCAUCUCGACCGGACAUUAUGCUUUCCAUAUGCAUGUGUGCAAGGUUCCAAGCCGACCCUAAGGAAGCUCACCUUACGGCCGUAAAACGAAUCUUGAGAUAUUUGGCUUACACUCCUAAGUUUGGGCUUUGGUAUCCUAAGGGAUCCACAUUUGAUUUGAUUGGUUAUUCGGAUGCCGAUUGGGCGGGGUGUAAGAUUAAUAGAAAGAGCACAUCGGGGACUUGCCAGUUCUUGGGGAGAUCCUUGGUGUCUUGGGCCUCAAAGAAGCAAAAUUCGGUAGCUCUUUCUACCGUCGAAGCCGAGUAUAUUGCCGCAGGCCACUGUUGCACGCAAUUACUUUGGAUGAGGCAAACCCUGCGGGACUACGGUUACAAAUUAACCAAAGUUCCUUUGCUAUGUGAUAAUGAGAGUGCAAUCAAAAUGGCGGAUAAUCCCGUCGAGCAUAGCCGCACUAAACACAUAGCCAUUCGGUAUCAUUUUCUUAGGGAUCACCAACAAAAGGGAGAUAUCGAGAUUUCAUACAUUAAUACUAAAGAUCAAUUAGCCGAUAUCUUUACCAAGCCACUAGAUGAACAAACUUUUAACAAACUUAGGCAUGAGCUAAAUAUUCUUGAUUCUAGGAACUUCUUUUGUUGAUUUGCACACAUAGCUCUUUUAUAUACCUUUAAUCAUGUAUCCUUCAUAUGCUAUGACUAAUGCGUUUUCAAGUCUAUUUCAAACCAAGUCAUAGGUGUAUUGAAAGGAAAUUGGAGUCUUCGGCGAAGACAAAGGCUUCCACUCCGCAACUCAUCCCUCGCCCUCACUCCGAGCAUCACUCCGUCUUUGGUAUAAUCUUCACUCCCUUAUUUAUGACCAAAGGGGGAAAGAGUAAUUCUAAGGGCUCUAAUGACUCCGUUUUUGGCGAUUCAUGCCAAAGGGGAGAAAGUAUUAGCCCAAAGCAAAAGGACCGCACCACCACCUAAAUUUAAAAUGAUUUUCAAUUGGAAAUUUCAAAUUGGUAUCUUAUUAUGUUCAAAAGGGGGAGAAAGUAGUAUUUCAAAAUUGAUAUAUCAAAACCCUCUUGAACACUAAGAGGAGAAUUUCAUUUAGGGGGAGUUUUGUUUAGUCAAGGGAAAAGCAUUUGAAACAGGGGGAGAAUUUCAAAUCUUGAAAAUGCUUCUCGAAAUCUUAUUCAAUUACCUUUGACUAUUUGCAAAAGGACUUUGAAAAGGAUUUACAAAAGAAUUUGCAAAAACAAAACAAGUGGUGCAAGCGUGGUCCAAAAUGUUAAAAAUAAAGAAACAAUCCAUGCAUACUUUAUGGGUAUUUAUAUUGACUCAAUUCCAAGCAACCUUUACACUGACAUUAUGCAAACUAGUUCAAUUAUGCACUUCUAUACUUGCUUUGGUUUGUGUUGGCAUCAAUCACCAAAAAGGGGGAGAUUGAAAGGGAAUUAGGCUUACACCUAGUUCCUAAUUAAUUUUGGUGGUUGAAUUGCCCAACACAAAUAUUUGGACUAACCAGUUUGCUCUAGAUUAUAUGUUCUACAGGUGUCAAAGGUUCAUCUACAACUAUACUAAAUCGACUGUCCGGAAUACCGUAGAUUAUUCCGGACAGGAGAAGCUUUUUGGAAAAACAGGCCAAGCGCGGACCGUCCGGGCCCUUGCGGCGGACCAUCCGCGACACAAGGAUGACCCUCGGAUAGAACCAAUGCAAAAAUCCGAGUUUGCACUAUGGACCGUCCGAAAGAUAAGCGCGGACCAUCUGGGACCUCGCUCGGACCGUCCGGCCUCAGGCGCGGACCGUCCGGUAGGCAAGGAUCCGAAAAACCCGAAGGUGACGGGUUCGGAAGAAUGAAUUAUAGCGGCCUCGCGGACCGUCCGGGGUGCACGACCGGACCGUCCGCGACUGGGUCUGUCUGACAUCUGAUGACGCAUUAAAUGCAAUAUAGCCGUUGAUAUAGCCGUUAUUGCUGACCGUUGCGUUUUCAGCCGUUGAUCUACAGGCGCGGACCGUCCGGACCAGACGGGCGGAUCGUCCGCGGUCGGCAGAAUGGAGCAACGGCUAGGAAGUGGUUGGUGGCUAUAAAUACAACCCCAACCACCUCCAUUCACUUCACCCAAACAUUCCAACCUUCAACAUUCAAUACAAGAGCUAGCAAUCCAUUCCAAGACACAUUCAAAGCCUCCAUCUCUCCAAGUUUCACAAUUGAGAAAAGAUAUCAUUAGUGAUUAGUGACUUGAGAGAGAAAGUGAUCCGUGUGUUAUUUGUCGCUCUUGUCGCUUGGCUUUUGCAAUCGUGCUUUCUUUCAAUCUUCAUUGCGAUCAAACUCACUUGUAAUUGAGGCAAGAGACACCAAUCUUGUGGUGGUCCUUGUGGGAACUUUGUGUUCCAAGCAUUUGAGAAGAGAAAGCUCACUCGGUCCGAGGGACCGUUUGAGAGAGGGAAAGGGUUGAAAAAGACCCGGCCUUUGUGGCCUCCUCAACGGGGAGUAGGUUUGCGAGAACCGAACCUCGGUAAAACAAAUCCUUGUGUCUCACUUCCAUAUUCGCUUGCGAUUUGUUUUGCACCCUCUCUCGCGGACUCAAUUAUAUUUCUAACGCUAACCCGGCUUGUAGUUGUGAUUAAUUUUGUAAAUUUCAGUUUCACCCUAUUCACCCCCCUCUAGGCGACUUUCAAAUAGCAUCAACAUUAAUAUCUCUACAUCUAGUGCAAAUAGAAAUAUGUUCAACAGUAGAAGUAGAGUGUUUGCAAGAUCUUAAUUCCUCUAUCUUAGCAUAUAAAGUAGAAUUCUCAUUUCUAAGACAGGAAAUAGAAUCAUCACAAACAUUCAAAUCCUUAGCCUUAUAAAUUAAUUUGUAAUUUUCAAUUUGAAGGCUAGAGAGUGAUUCAUUCAAUUUAUUAAUGUUAGCAGUUAAACUAGCAUUAUCAUUUUUAAGAUUGGCAAUCAAAUCAUCACAAACACUUAACUUCUCAACCUUAGUAUUCAAAUUAGCAUUCUCAAUUCUAAGGUUGGAGACAGUGUCAUGGCAAAUGCUAAGCUCCUUAGUCAAAUUUUCAUUUCUUUCUACUUCCUAAGCAUAAGCAUUUUUUACCUUAACAUGCUUUUUAUUUUCCUUAAUAAGGAAUUCCUCUUGGCUAUCCAAGAGUUCAUCCUUCUCAUGAAUAGCACCUAUCAAUUCAUUUAGUUUUUCCUUUUGUUGCAUGUUUAGGUUGGCAAAAAAAGCAAGCAAAUCAUCUUCAUCAUCACUAGAGCUACCCUCAUCACUAGAUAUUGUAUAUUUAGUGGAGGCUCUAGAUUUUACCUUCUUAUUUUUGCCGUCCUUUGCCAUGAGGCACUUGUGACCGACGUUGGGGAAGAGAAGUCCCUUGUUGACGGCGAUGUUGGCGGCAUCCUCGUCGGAGGAGUCGAUGGAGCUCUCGUCGGAGUCCCAUUCCUGACACACGUGGGCAUCGUCGCCCUUCUUCUUGUAGUACUUCUUCUUUUCCUUCUUCUUCCCUCUCUUGUUGUCGCCCCUGUCACUAGAAAUAGGACAUUUUGCUAUAAAGUGACCGGGCUUACCACACUUGUAGCACACCUUCUUGGAGCGGGGUUUGUAGUCUCUCCCCUUCCUUUGCUUGAGGAUUUGGCGAAAGCUCUUGAUGAUGAGUGCCAUUUCCUCGUUGUCGAUCUUGGAGGCGUCGAUGGGGAGCCUACUUGAUGUAGACUCUUCUUUCUUUUCCUCCGUCGCUUUGAAUGCGACGGGUUGCACCUCGGGUCUGGAGGUGCCGCCUUGCUCGAUAAUUUGUUUGGAGCCUUUGAUCAUCAACUCAAAGCUCACAAACUUUCCUACCACUUCCUCGGGAGACAUUAGCUUAUAUCUAGGAUCACCAAGAAUUAAUUGUACUUGUGUAGGAUUACAAAAAACAAGUGAUCUUAGAAUAACCUUGACCAUUUCAUGAUCAUACCAUUUGGUGCUCCCGAGGUUGCGCACUUGGUUGACCAAGGUCUUGAGCCGGUUGUACAUUGCUUGUGGCUCCUCUCCUUGGUUGAGGAUGAAUCGACCGAGCUCCCCCUCGAUCGUCUCCCGCUUGGUGAUCUUGGUCACCUCAUCCCCUUCAUGCACGGUCUUUAGUACAUCCCAAAUCUCCUUGGCACUUUUUAGCCCUUGCACCUUGUUAUACUCCUCUCGACAUAGAGAGGCGAGGAGUAUAGUGGUGGCUUGGGAGUCAAAAUGUUGGAUUUGGGCGACCUCGUCUGAAUCAUAUCCUUCAUCCCCCACGGAUGGUACCUGCGCUCCAAACUCAACAAUGUCCCAAAUGCUAGCGUGGAGUGAGGUUAGAUGAUGCCUCAUUUUAUCACUCCACAUACAAUAAUCUUCACUGUCAAAAACCGGUGGUUUGCCUAAUGGGACGGAAAGUAAAGGAGUGCGAUUAGAAAUGCGGGAAUAGCAUAGGGGAAUCUUACUAAACUUCUUGCGCUCAUGGCGCUUAGAAGUGACGGACAGAGCGUCAGAGCCGGAGGUGAAGGGAGACAAAGAAUCGGUCUCGUAGUAGACCACUUUCUUCAUCUUCUUCUUAUCGCCACUCUGGUGCGACUUGACGCGGGGAGGCGAUUCCUCCCUUCCUUUGGCACCGGACUCCUUGAUGGAGCCUUCCCGUGGCUUGUGGCCAUUUCCAUCUCCCUCUUGGCGGAUCCUCCUGACAUCACUUCGAGUUGUUAGACUCUAAUGAAGUACCAGGCUCUAAUACCAAUUGAAAGUCGCCUAGAGGGGGGGGUGAAUAGGCGGAAACUGAAAUUUACAACUUUAAACUCAACUACAAGCCGGGGUUAGCGUUAGAAAUAAAAUCAAAGUCCGAAAGAGAGGGUGAAAACAAAUCACAAGCAAAUGAAGCGGAUGACACGGUGAUUUGUUUUACCGAGGUUCGGUUCUUGAGAACCUACUCCCCGUUGAGGUGGACACAAAGACCGGGUCUCUUUCAACCCUUUCCCUCUCUCAAAUGGUCUCCUAGACCGAGUGAGCUUUCUCCUUAAUCAAACGGGUCACUUAGACCCCUCACAAGGACCACCACAACUUGGUGUCUCUUGCUUUGAUUACAAGUGUCUUGAGAACAAGAAAGAGGAAGAAGAAAACGAUCCAAGAACAAGAGCUCAAAGAACACAAGAAAAACUCUCUCUAGUCACUAUUUGUUCAUAGUGGAUUUGGACUUGGAGAGGCUUUGAUUCUAUUGAAUUGUGUCUUGUAUUGAUUGCACUACCUCUUGUAUUGAAUGAGAUGUCUAAAAAACUUGGAUGCUUGAAGUGGUGGUGGUUGGGGGGUAUUUAUAGCCCCAACCACCAAACCAACCGUUGGGGAGGCUGUCUGUCGAUGGGUGCACCAGACGGUCCGGUGCGCGACCGGACACUGUCCGGUGCGCCAGCCACGUCACCCAAUCGUUAGGGUUCUGACGGUUUCCACCGUUGGAGCUCUGACUUCUUGGCGGACAGGCAUUGUUCACUGUCCGGUGCGCCUUCUGGCGCUGCUCUGACACUGCGCGAACUGUCCGUGCACUGUUCACGCUGCAGGCGACCGUUGGAGUCGACCGUUGCGCUUCUUAGCCGUUGGACCACUGGCACACCGGAUAGUCCGGUGAAUUAUAGUGGAGCGGCUCUCCAAAAACCCGAAGGUGAAGAGUUUGACCUGUACGGUCCCUGGUGCACCGGACACUGUCCGGUGGCACAUCGGACAGUCCGGUGCGCCAGACCAGGGUUCUCUUCGGUUUCUUUUGCUCCUUUCUUUUGAACCCUAAUUUUGAUCUUUUUAUUGGUUUGUGUUGAACCUUUAGCAUAUGUAGAACAUAUAAUCUAGAGCAAACUAGUUAGUCCAAUUAUUUGUGUUGGGCAUUUCAACCACCAAAAUCCUUUAGGAAAAGGUUUGACCAUAUUUCCCUUUCAGGCCCCACCCUCAAGGUGGUUUGAGAUGGUAAGACCCCAUAGCAGAGUCAUCAAUAUGCAUGGUUAGGGCCCCUGCCACACGACAAGCAUAAGGGAGGUGAAAGGCAAAUGUGCCAUAGGGCCAUUUCUACCUAUUUUGAUGAUUAAGUGUCCAACACACCACAUCUUCGAAUUCUCAUACGGGUUGUACAAACUAUACUGGCUAGGAAUCUAGGAUCAUCCCUUUCAAGCUAGAUGUACGACUAUAGGACCUCGGAUAGACAUCGAGAGUUCGGUGUGCACAGGACUAGUUUACUAGAGAAGAUGUCUUCAGAGAAGAAGAAGAAGAGAAGAAGUAGUUGGCACACCGAGCCCAUAGCAAACCCAAGAGUCAGAUGGGAAGGACCAACGAUUUGUUAAGUGGCACCUACAUGGUAAGUCCGGUGUACCCUGACAACUUUCUUAUAACGACUACUAACGGGAUAUGUAAGGAAAAUGGACCCCGGGCCAUUUGGCUUAAUAGAUUUUGGUGUUUGAUGAUCAACAUAACCUGUGGACUAACGUGUUUACUAGUGUUUGUGUUUGUAGUUCACAGGAUGCUAAAGUUACUUGGACCAAGACAUUGAGGAAAGCAACACCUCAAAAGAAGACAUUAUGAAGAUCAAGUGAAGUCCAAGAAACAAAGGAAUUGUUGCCUAUGGACUGUCUGGUCUGGAGCACCGGACCGUCCGGUGGCACACCAGACUGUCCGGUGCACCAGGAAACAGUAGCCCAACGGCUAGUUCCAGGUGGCAAUGUGGAGAGAAGACCACCAGACUAUCUGGUGUGACAUCCGCAGUGUCUGGUGUAAAAAGCCUACGCGCCAACGGUCGCCUGUGGUGUCAGACCAACGGCUAGGCGCACCGGAUAGUGAACAGUGCACUGUCAGGUGCACCACCGGACUGUUCGGUGUUCCACAGAGAGCAGUAGCUUUUCUCCAACAGCUAGCUUUGAGUUGGGGGCUAUAAAUACACCCCAACCGACCAUUCCAAGGUGUGGGAGCCCAAGCAACAUACCAAGGCAUAGUAUAGACAUUUUCAAGUGCUCAUACACCCAAGUGCUUAAUAGAAUCACUCGGUGAUUAGCGUAGGUUCUUUGCGAAGUGCUUAGGUUAGUUAGACCACUUUAGCACUUGCUCUAGGUGAACCCUAGUUAGUUGAGUGUGUUUUGUAAAACCACACAACCCCUCGGCUCUUGCGUGAGCCAUUGUAAUUGUACCGAGUGGGGCGAGAGUCUUGCGAGACCGUGACAAUCGAGUUUGUGUCACGGCCGCCAUCGUGUACCGGAGGGAAUGAGGCCCGCGACAUUUUCGGCCGGAAGCUCGAUAGUGGAGACGGCAGGGAGUGUCCGAGAGGAGCCGAAAGCGGAGCACCACUUGCGCAUGGAGAAGGCCUGUGGCUCUCUACGAAGUUACUCGACCAAGGUGCUUGGCCCUCGCGUGGGCUUCCCUUUGCGUAGGGGCACCAACGAGGAUUAGUUGGAACCUUGCGUGGUUCCGGAUACCUCGGUAAAAAUACCGGCGUCAUUCACGAGAGUUUGCAUCUCUACCUUGCUCUUUAGCUUCUGUAUUUAUAUUAAGCAUUUAAGUUUCAAUCUUGUCCUUAUACUUAUAUUGUGUUAGAUUGAAACUUAGCCAUUGCGGUAGAGAUAGCAACACUUAGACAAAACCUAGUUUGCACAUUCUAGUUUGAUUAAUUGCAUAGGUUUUGCUAUAGAGAUUUAUUUGUGGCCUAGUUUAGUGAAAGUUUUAGAAGUCCUAAUUCACCCCCCUCUUAGGCGUCACAUGUUUCCUUCAAUUGGUCUGGUGUGCAUCGGACCAAGCACUAUUUGAGGUUUGGUGCACCUAUAUGAGGCCUUGAGGCCUUGAUGAUAGGUGAGGCAUUCCAACGGCUAUGUGAGGCGUUGAGGCCUAUAUAUAUGACCCCAACUAGUGUGUUACACAUCCAAGAGCUGAUCAAACAAGUCAUAUGCAUAGAGAAACACAUUAAAGUUAUUACAAGUGCCAUAAUUGAGUAGAGAAGCUAGUGAUAAUAUUGCCUUGUGAGAGGAAGACUAGUGCACUUGAGGGGGCUGGAUUGUGGAGUUGUGUUGGGAUCAUUAAGCUUUAGAGUUGAGACUCCAUUGAUUUGUAAAGCGAUUAAGAGCCUCUAAGUUGUGGAGUGCCUUGCGAGACUCGGUCUCGCUUGAGAAAAGAAAAGAUGAACUCAAGUUUGAUCUUUGUGAUCACUUGAGCGAGGAAAGGGUUGAGAGAAACCCGGUCCUCAAUGGACUCCUCAACAAAGAUGUAGGUUUCUUUGUGAAAUCGAACUCUUGUAACAAAUUGUCGUGUGUUUCUUCCUUUUGUCUUGCAAUUUGUUCUUAAUCUUUCCUCCCUAUUCUUAUGCUUAUUUGCACUAAAAUUCUAUUCCAUUGUGUUGCUAAGUCCAAUUCCGCAUUUAUACUUACUAGCAACCUUGUGCAAGUAUUGUGCUCAACUACUCAUACUAACCCGGACUAGCACAUCUUGUUCUAAAGCUUAAUAUCAUAAUCUCGGAUCGAGUUUGGAUUAUUUUGAAUUAAAUUUCCAGUGUCUCUUAUUCACCCCUAGCUAGGCGACUAUUAAUACACCUUUGUGCCCCGACUAACAAACGACAUUAAUGUCUAUGAGGUCAUGACAUUAAGAGCCUAACACACAAAGAGUUUUAUAGAUACUCGUGUCAUAUUGUGUGCAAUACUCUACAUCCUUUUAUUGUUCAUAAAUUGUUGUGGAUGAUACACAAGGUUAUAAGCUUCAAUACAACGAGCUACUAUCCCUCCUCAUUGAGUAGUGGGUGAGAUAAGCUAGACUAACUCUAAUUGUCGUUGGCUUGACUAGAUUGAAUUAACUAUUUUGGCUUAGGUUUGGUAGGUCUCGAAGUGGUUUCUUGUGGCAUACUCCCCUUUUACUUGAACCUUUAAUCGAAUGUUGCUCUACCAUGACUUUUAUAGUCCAAAGGAGUGGAAGUUUUAUAUGUAUAUAGUACUUGUAAAUUCUACCUAUUAUUAUCGAGUCAAAGCACGUCCUGUUUUGAGCUUAUGAUCAUGUGACCUGCAACAUGUAUGUUUUGACGAAACCAUUCAUAUGAAAGAGUGUAGUUAGGGAUGAGCUGCCACAGUGAGGACAACAAUUACUAUAUAUUUUAUUAUAUAUUAGACUAUACUCCACAAAUCGUAUAUGACCGUGCAAAUAGCCUUAAAAUCAUCGUACUGUCUCACCCGGAUUUAACGGGUAAAGCCGGGUGCAUCUCAUAUGUGCGCCAAAGAAGAACAUCACAUAUAAUGACAAAAUGUAUAGAGAUAAAUGUCACAAGUGUCAUUAUUACAUAGCGGAAGUCUUACAAAAAUGAUAACAAUAAAGAAAAAUAAAUAUUAUUCAUUGGUGCCAUAAAGCUGACUCGGAGACGCUACCUAGAUGAGCUCGUACUCCUCGUUGUAAGGCUACUCCUGGACCACCUGUUCUUCUCCUAUGGGGGGUUUAUAUAUCGCAAGGGUGAGCUCACAAAAGAUCAUAGCUCAACAAGUUGUGAGGAAUAAUGUGCAUGAACUCACCAAAGGUGGGAGUUCAGGUGAAGUGUAAGGUUGAUCAAUAAAUAAGGGUUAAAGCUGAGCAUCACUUUUAAUAAGUGGGUCCAAUUUUAUUAGCGGUUACUAAGUGUAAGUAGAUACCAAACGAGAGUAAUACUAGAUCAAAAUUAAUAAUAAACCACAAUGCGAUGAAAAUGACAAAUUGAAUUUAAUUCCAUAAAUUAAUCAUGGGAGAGUCCUGAGCUGCUCAUGACCGCGAGCACGGCUAGUAUAGUAGUUUUACACUCUGCAGAGGUUGUACCCUUUACCCACAAGUAAUGUUACCCAUUUGCCACGAGGUUGUACGGGCCCCAUACACCUCUACCAAGGAAGCGAGACAGGGUAACACUACAAGGCCUUUACAAAGUUUCACUAGCUUCAGAAAAUCCACUACAGUUUCUAGGGAGCGUAAUGCAGGAAUCCCCCGUCUGACCGCCAUCGCAGCAAAAUCAACCCGAGAACCUCCCUACACGCCAACUCCCCUACUCCCCUUGCCCCUUUCGGGUAAGGUAGACCUCCACUAGCUUUCCUAAUUAGUCAGCCAAGGGCGUCCAAUUCCACCCUUGUGGUGGCACGUGUUUCUCAAGUUAAGCUCCAUGUUCCAAUUAACUAAUAGUCUUAUCAUGAACAGAAAUAGAACAACAAUAAUAAAGAAUGACCAUGUGUAAUAGUUAUUUCAACACCCAAAACCAUAUAUAGCAAUAGCAAAGACUACCCAAAAGUUCAGGGGUAAACAAGGUGUAAAGAUUACCAGACUAGGGUGACCUAUUGGGUCCCAUCAAAAUUAAGCCUAUGCAUGCCAAAAUGAUUAUAGAGAACAUUAUUGGGUAAAUAAAAGUGGUCAAGGGCACAACUUGCCUUCAAUGAGCUCCUGCUCAGCAACUUCUACCUGCUGAACACCUGUGAAAGCUCUCUUGUGGGUUUUGGUGGUUUGGAUGACAACCCAAUUAAAGACUAACAAGUGUGCUAAGUGUUGAACAUGUGCUUAAUGCAAAGCUAACAUGGUUCAACACAAGUGAACAAGUGUGAUGGUCCAAAGACUGGAAUAUCUAUAGAUAAUGGGCAUCACAAGUAAGAUGGACAUUGCUUAAGUGAGACUCGGUGUGCGUAACUCAGAGACAACCGAUCAAGCCAAGGAUGGAGUCAAGAAGAGCUUCGAGGUACCGAGUGCACGGGAGAAGGUCAAGUAGACCAGGAACCCAAAGCCAGGGGUGAAGAAAAAGACUUGCAAAGUCAAGGUUGAUCAAGUUAAGAAGAGUUAUGGUGCAUAAAGGAUCACUACAUAAGGACAUGACUUACAACCAAUGAGGUAACAUCUACAGUUAUGUGGUGUAAGUCAUAGGGCUCAAGAUCAAGCUCGAGAAGUGAACAAGGUCACUAGAAGGAGCAGUGUUAAAACCAGAACUGGAAGCAGCCCAAAAGAGCUAAGUUUACUUUGAUCUUUUGUUUGGGUUGUUACUAUGCUUGGGUAUAUUCUAUGUGACCUUUGUAGGUUGUUGGAGCUCAGAUAUGUCAAUCUAGAUCAAGUCAAGUUGACUUGAUGGUGUAGAGUCCAACAUCGACCUCAAAUAGGUCAAAUCGGAGAAAGUGCCAUUUUGAGCUCUACUUGAGGAGAAACAGAAAAGCUAGGAGAAGAACGAGAAAGAGGUAAGUUUCUAGGACUAAGUCAAUUGGAUUAUACUCUAAAUGUAUUUGUUUAAGUCUCAGGAAAAUCCUCCCAAAAGUUGAAGUCAAAUGGAGAAAGAAUGGAGGAAAAAGUACUUAGUGUGCUGUUGGCUGGUGCACAGGACAGUGAAUAGUAACUGUCCGGUGCACAGGACAGUGAAUAGUAAUAUGUCUGGUGCACAGGACAAUGAAUAGUAACAUACCAGGUGCACAUGUUAGUGAAUAGUUACCUGUUCGGUGCACAUGGCAGUGAAUAGUAACAUGUCCGGUGCACAGGACAAUGAACAUUUACUUGUCCUAUGCAUAGGACAGUGAAUAGUUACCUGUCCGCUGCAUAGGAUAGUGAAUAGUAACAUGUCUGGUGUACCAACGGCUAGCUCUUCCACAGAAGGAAACUAUCAAUCAGAUCCGUUACUGUGCACUAUCCGGUGGCGCACCGGACAGUCCGGUGCACCCGCAAACAGGGAAGACUGAGAGCUUCCAAAUGAAGCCCCAACGGCUCCUAGGCCCCUUGGGACUAUAAAAGGGACCCCUAGGCGCCUCCAACAAGGGUACAAGAGCAGCCAACAAGUCCAUACAUCAUUUGGAUCAAUUAUUUCUCUCUCUCUUGUGUAUCUCUCUAGUUUGUGUAGAGGCGAAGUUAUAAGCCUUUAGAGAGAGGGGAAGUGCUGCUGAGAGCUAGAGCAAAAUCUUGGGCGCAUUGUUACUCUGUCGGAGUGCUGUCGAGAAGAUUGUAGGCAACUAUGAGUCCACGACAUCGUUGUAACUGAUAUCAACAUAGUGGAAGGCUCUAUCUGUCUCACUGACAGAUAUGAGCAAAACGAGGAAGGAGUUGAAAUAGAGUCCAAUCUAAUGUGUGGCUAACUCCAACGAGGACUAGGCAAGCAUUUCAGGCUUGGCCGAACCUCGAGAUAAAUCCCUGUGUCUGUGUGCUCUGCUCUGUGCUGUGUGAUGUUUCUCUGUCUUAUUUGUUGUUUAUACUUGCACUUCAAUACUUAUACGUGGUACAAGCUGUCUUCGAAGUGUAGGGUAUUUUAAGACAGGAACUUCAAUUCCGCUGCAACCUACUCGAAUGGUCUUUCAUUCCACUGCGAUUCAACCUUCGAGUAGAGUAAGAAUUUUUAGUUUUAAAGUGAUAAUUAUUAUUCACCUAUUCACCCCCUCUAGGCGACAUCCAGAUCCCGUUCCCGGGCAUAGGGAACUUUCAACCUGGAUCCUCAAUCACUUGCUCGUCUACUCGCCAUAAUACAAACAAACAUGGUUCAAGGGAAACUAAUCAUCACACCAAACAGAGGAACAUAAUGCAUGAUAAUAUUCUACGCAUCGCAACGAGAUCGUAGGAACAAGAAUCACUAAAUUCGGAGUUACAAAUUACAAGUUAUGAUUUUCCGAAGGUUUUAUGUGUUUGGUACAAAAAUAACCAAGUGAUUAAUCUUAAUAUAGGUUUCAUGCUAAAACAGAGUUACCAAGUGAUAAACAAUAUUAAUACCAAAUUAUAGCAACUGGAAUGGGUUAAAAGGAACUAAAAUGAUUUUUCUAGGAAUUAAACAAGAUUCUGGAAUUAAUUUUACACUAAAAAAUCGUUUUCUAAAUUAAUUCUUCUGAUUUUUCUAAUGCCCUGUACUGCACGCACUAAUAACAGAAACCUCAGGGUCCGCUUAUAAAUUUACGGGGCACGCUUGUGAUUUUUUUGUAUACGCAGUGGACCGCGUGUUGGUUUAGUUAAAACACAGGGACUCAUAUGCUAAAGCGCACGGCCAAAACGUUAUCCACAGAUCUCAGCCGUCCGAUCUAAUGCCGACGCUCCAGAUUAAAUCAUCACUCUCGCGAACCGGUACGUAAAACCCUAAGUUGGAUCCAAAAUCUACGGCGCGGACCUUACAAGCACCGAAAUCGACCUGAUCCGCCCGAUCGGAUCACAACGGUCCCAAUCCCCCUGCCCAAUCGUUAUGCCAGGAUCAAUUAGAGCCGCUACGAAAAGAUCCAACGGCGCGGAACCAUUUCCCUACCUCUGAUGGAGGCGCACGGCGACGCGCGCCGUUUCACGGUGGACGCCAUCGCCGGGCUCCCGGAAUCAGUGCUCUAGCGUCCUAAACUCGAAUCUAGUGGGUGCUACGCAAUCGUGAGUGAUAAGUGAACAUGACAUAGGGUUUACUCACCGGAGAUGAACACCGAACGACGCUACCCCCGGCGCACGGCGGAUCGGGGCCAAAGCAAUGACUUCGGUGAGCAAUUGACGCGGCAGUAAUGCCCCGAUUCUGCAAUUACGCCCACCCGAGCUUCCGCGAUGACCAACUGACUUCCCAGAGCAAUGAACAGAGGCGAGGCGGCGGCCCCGACUCCCACGGCUCCUGAUUUUCUCGCGGUGAUGGGUAUGCCCUAAGCGUCAAUCGGUCGCAGGGACGCGUCUUGGGGCACUUUAUACUCGGGACGCGUCCACGAUCGCAGGGGAAAACGGAAUAUCCAACGCGGCCUAGAUCCGCGGAGCUGGGCACGGAGCAAUGGACCUGGCGAAGAAGACAGGCGGCGUAACCGUGAGGGCUGGCAAGCGGGCCCCAACGGUUAGUGCGCACGGAACAGGCGGCGCGCGUGGCUGCCUUGUAGGCCCAGGCCAUCAGCACUACUGUGCGGGGGACGCAACGAGCGCGGCGAGUGGAACGAGUGGAUGACGUGUGGGUCUAGGAUGUCGGCGCCGACCCAAGCUCCUGGGCCGCACGGAGAGUGAAGAUGGGCCCAACGCGAGUAGCUUUGGGGCCCGCUGGUUUUGGAAGCUUUUUUUGUUUUGAAUUUCUUUUCUUUUCUCUUUAUCUUUUUGAACCUCAAUUUGAAUUCAAGUUUUGUGGUGGAUUUUUGUAUCUAGAUCAAAUAUACAAACUAAGAAGACCAGUUUGAAAAAGGUUUAUUUAUUUAUGUAUACAUUUUCCUUAUAUUUCAUAAGGUUUCCUUUUCUAUGUUAUUUUUUUCAAUUUUCUAAUUUGCACAUUAGGUCUUAAAUCUCAAUUUGGACCUUAAUGUAUUUCUAUUAUUAUGAUUAUUAUUUUAUUAAAUGCUCACACAAAGAAACCACAACAUGAUGCAUAUAUUAUUUAGAUGUCAUUAGCUAAUUAAUCUCUUUAAAUAUAGUUGUUCACAUGUUAUAAUAAAUAGAGGGCAAAACAUAUAAGAGAAUUAUCUCCUUUCUUAUGAUUUAUAAAUUUGGUUAUUAUACGUACUUGCCAAGCGCCCAAGCAGUAGAGCCACAACGGAGUGUACCACUCACUACGUGUGAGGCCACAUUAUUAUCGACCGGUAUCGACCAUCGCUGUUUGACCUUGCCUAAUCUGACGAUAUACACGUACGUGUUACUCUGGCACGUAGGAGGAGGAUACGCUACGUCUACGUAUUUCCAUAGGAGACGACUGUGCUUGGCGGGGCCGGGUGCGUGUACUGCAACUGUACACAUGCAUGCACGAGCCAAAAAAAAUAUCUCCCCCUACGUCUACGCCUACACUCUCAGGCUGCCGUCGCUACGUACUACGUAUGCUAGCGGAAGCAAGCAGGAGCAGACUACAGCAGCUGCCGUUCCUUGCCCUGCCGCUCUCUCUCCCGUCCCGUCUCGUCGCCCCGCAUAAAUGCAGCGGCGACGGGUUGGUUGGCGCCAUAAAUUACACGCCACCACCGCUCGACCUACCAGCCCUCCUUCCUCAUCCGCCUGCCCUGCCCGUCCCGUCCGUCCACCCCCUUCCCUUCUUUCCCCUUUGCUUGCUGCUGCCUGCUUCUCGCCGUCGCCGCCUCAAUUCCCUCCUCGUUGUCCGUCGCCUCGUCCACGCGCACCUCGUCCUCCUCUCCGUUCCCUCCACCUCCUCGACCGCACCGUCGUCGUCUAGCUAGCGGAGCGAGCUGCGACCAGAUCGGAGAGCCAAGCACCCAGGAA
RNAcentral lists this long non-coding RNA (47871 nucleotides) under Zea mays. RNAcentral describes it as "long non-coding RNA (ZMAY_LNC003063)". Lineage: Eukaryota; Viridiplantae; Streptophyta; Magnoliopsida; Poales; Poaceae. The record is from RNAcentral.